GCAUCCUAUACUGCAUGGCCAACUUCAGAGAGCUAAAAGAAGCUCUUAUUGAAUACAUGAUAGAUAAUGUCCCACUGACCCUUUUACUCUGAUACCUUGAAAUGAGAAAUUUGGAGGUUUUCCACAUCAAGCUUCUUGAAAUUAUUGCGCCUUCUCGUAACAAAGAACUUUCCCCAGUUGUAUGCUCUAUACUUUGGCUUUUCCCCCUUCGUCAGCUCCUCCAAGGGCUUCACCCAAACAUGGUGCCCGGGACUCAAAACGAACGGAAUCGAGAACCUUUACCUCUCUGAAUUCUCCAUCACCCUGUGCUCCACACUUUCAUAAGUAUCGUUGCUCCAGACCUGGUUUAAUAUCAGUAGAAUUAGCCAAAUGAGUGUAAAAUUCCUUGAGCCAAACAGUACUGAUAAGCAUGUACUUAUAAUUCAAAGUUCUUGGGUGGUACCUGAACUAUAUCCCCAACAUUGAUGAUAUAAGCAUCUGGGGUGGGCUUAACUCGAACCCAUUCUCCAUCGGUUUUUCGAUUUACUUCCAACCCUCCAACAUCAUCCUGAGCAAGGAAAGUUAAGGCUCCGGAAUCCUUGUGGCGACCAACGCCCAGAGCUAGGUGAGGAAUGGAGCAAGGUGGGUAGUGAUUGAGGCGGAUGAAGUUUGUUGAUUCUUCAUUCAGGGAUUAUUUCAUCCCUUUUAACCAAAUAUUUAACAUGAUCAAAGACUAUUCCCUAAAUGAAGGCAUACUGUAGCAAAUACCCUUAAUCUGAACAUUGAAAGUACAACUUAAACUAGUAUCAAACACUCUGUUUUUAAACCCAUAGCUACUCCAAAUAUCCCAAAUACUCUUUUCUAUGUAACCUCUCUUUGUCUCUUUCUCGCUCACACACACAUGCUUCCCCACAAAAAUACAUACACACAUAGAGAAGAACACAAUCUCUUAUCCGAUUCCCUUCCGAUUUAUGAUUCUAAGCUGGCGGGUCACUCUCUUAUUCUUUUGCUUUCUUGCGAUGGAGCUCCAUGCUCUCCUUUCCUCAUUUUUUUUCUUGGAUAAAUACUCUAUAAAACAUCCUCUCUCGAUGCUCUAUCUAAACUCACUUGCUCAUUUCACAUUUUUUUCUUUUUGGAUGCUUUCUUUAUGCUCCCAGGCAUAUGCCAGUUUUUUAUGACUAUUUUUGAAGUUGGGAUUCAGAAUUCACUAAAAUCUUUUCUCAAACUUGGAUUUUUCUCAACUCAACCCUAACUUCUUUUCUAUCAGUACCAAGGCUAGAGAAUAUAGUUUAUACCCUUGUAUUUCGUUAUGUACCAAGCCCACAAGAUGAUCAAUAAGUUUCUCUCUAGAUUUUACAUUGGAGUUGAUUGAUGACAUACCCUUAUUAGGUACUAUAUUCUCUUCCUUAGGUAUUGCUUUUUCCUUCCUUAGAUACUACCUUUGCAACCUUGGGUGCACGAUCGAAUCCAUCGUUUCAUGGCCACUUCAAGUAAGUCAGGAACUUAUGUACAUGUGUGCUACAUGUCUUAUAGGUAUUACCUUUACAUUCUGUAGGUACUACCUUUACCUUCCAUAGGUACAAAUAUGAUUAAUAAUAAGAAUUUUAACAUAAAAAAGGGAAAAAUCAUGUCUGAUAAUAAAAUUGCAUAUAUUUUCUUUCUUGCUUUUUUUUUUUUUUUUGGGUCUUUGCUUUGGUUUUUAUUUAUGUGUUUGUUUCUUUUAGUCUUUGUGUGUGUGUGUGUUUUAUUUUAUUUUAUUUUUUUCAUCCCUAUGCAGAAGAUGUAGAGGAAGCAACAUCACAUCAUAAGGUGCAUUUUUCUGUUCAUUUAAGCCUAAAGGUUCUGGAUUCACAAAAUGGUGGGAACUAAGGGUGAGAAACUGGAAAAAAAAAUGUUGGAUUGAGCUACAUUUGAUCAAUAGUGAAUUUGCAAAAAAGAUUGUAGGAGAGGUUUCUUGAGGUGGACAAGGUCAGAAGCAAGGAGCCUUUUCCUAGUUUUUGGGAAGAACUUAUUGUUAACGUGUGAAUUCAUUAAGGGUAAUUUAUGUAAGAUUUUCUAGAUUUUGCAAGUGAAUGCACCUUAGCUUUUCCUAUUGUAUUUGUGUUUUUUUAGGUUGAUUAUUUUAUUGAUCGUCACCACUCAAGGAAUGGAAGCAAUAGGGUCUCUAGAUGUACUGCGUAAAGGCGGGCAUACAGGCGUUGUUAGGAAUGUGUUUCCCAUGUCCAACAAGCAUAUUGACACCACCUAAAGCCAAGGCAUCUUUGGACGAGGAGUUCUAGCUUCUACUUCUGUGGACUUUGUAGAUGUCGUCUGGCUCUUCUAAAUAUUUAUUGUUAUGUAGUAGUUAUACACAUGUACUUUGUUUAAGUGAAUUGAUUAUUGGAUUUUUAGUUAAAUCAAAUUUAAGGGUAUGUUGUUUAAUUUACUAGUGAUCUCUUGUUUGUAAUUCUCGUUAUCAUAUAUAAAUCUUUGUUAGCAUUUUCCAAUUUCCUCAAUAGCAACUAUAUUAGUUUUCAGUGGAAUGAAUCUUGAGUAACUUGUAGUAUCAUUUUUGGUUUUGAAUUGACUAAUCUGUUUUGGAAGGAUGAAUUAGAUAUAUGAGCUUGAUUGCUAACAGUAGUUGAGUUUGUUUUGAUCUCGGGAUAUUUGCCUUGUUGAAUAGGACGUAGAUUUUGGGUCCAAAGAGUUGAAAAUUGAUGAGCUUAACCAAGACAUAGGAGAACCACAUGCAACACUAACCAGAGUUCCUACAACAAGCUAAUAACCAUGAUUUAGAAAUGUGAUUUCGUUAAAGGGAAGCAUUUCUAAUCUUAUUUGAAAGGAAACUUUGAUGUCUUCCCUAAUACACUAGAAUAUUAAUUUAAAAACAACAAUUAAGGUUAUAUUAACUAUUAUAAUAAUUUAUAAAUUAUAUAAAUAUGAUAAUAACUAUUAAAAUGAAAGUAUUAAAUGUAAAAAAGUUUAAUCUUGUUGGGUAAAAACUUCAUCAAUCUUUUAUUAUUGAACUUCUAUUAUAUAAUCAAACAUAGUGAUGAUCCUCGGUUGGAUUAAUCAACACUUGUUUCAUAAAUUGAACAACAUAUAACAUGAUCAACCAUAAACAAACAAGUAAACAUCAUACUAGAUAAAACUAUCUCUUAAGAUUUCUAUUAUUACAUGUUUAAAUUACAAAUCAUAUUUUUGCAACUUUCGUAAAAUUAUGCAAUAGAUAUGAUUAAAAUUACGAAACAUCGGAAAUGUAUAUUGAUUCAUUAUUCAGAUUCAUCAUAUCAUAUAUAUCCUUUAGUAGUCCAUAAGAUCAAAUAAUAACCAAAAUUCAAAAAAUAUGUUUUAUGAUCCAAAAUUGAUUGACACUAAUAUCAUUUGUUAAAUAAACUUUAUGUGAAAUAAUUAUUUUGGAAAAUCAAUUUGGAUGCAUAAUGCAUAAUAGGUAUAAGAAAUAAAGAAAUGACAAAAUAAUAAUUAUAUUCUUGUCUUAAUCCAUGAUACUGAUAACACUUGUAAUGUGAAUUUGAGUCAUUUUGUGAAUUGUUGGGUCAAGGUCUUCAACUCACCAUUCUCAUUUAGUAGAUGAGUCAAUUGUGUGGUAUAUGUUGUUAUAAGUAAAACAACUAAAAACAUAAGAAUGCAAUGUGACUUAGGACCUUAACUUUAUAAAAAAGAUUUAUAACUCUUAAUAUUCUCAUAAAAGAUUAUAUGAAAGUUAUACUCAUUAUUUAUAAACAUUAUACACAGAUUAAUGGACAAUGGUAAACUACCAACUUGAAUACAUUCAUGUAAUUGUAUAAAUUACACUUUUUCAUCUUCCUCUAUUAGUCAUAAACUUUAUGUACAAAUGAAAUCUCAUAAAGAUGGAGUUACACAAGUUGUAAUACCAUAUUCUUAUAAAUGAAAUUUUUCUAACUCUGUAUUUAUAAUUUUAAUCUUCUAUGUUAGAAGUUGAAUUUGUUCCACGUCGCCAAGUUAUUGGGUUAUUAUGUUGUUCAUAUAUGUAGAUUGGUCACCUCUCCAAGCUAGCUUUUGGGAAUGAAUUCUAUUCAAACCCAUUUAACAUGGUAUCAGAGCUUGGUUUGACUGUGGGUUGUGGGUUCGAGCCACCUCUCUGCAAUUCGCAUGUUUGUUCCUUAUUUGCAUGUUUGGAAGUCUAGAAAAGGUUAUUUGCAUUUGUUUGUCUCUUCACGUGUGGAUAUGGGACCACACAUAAGAGAGGGUGUUAAAAAGCUUGAUAUGUACGUAUAUUGAACCUAAAUCUUAUAAGUUUAAGCUUUUAGGAAAAUUAGUAAUUCAACAUUCUAUACAUAAAAUUAUUUGAUGUCCAAUCAAUUGAUUCACCUACCUAUCAAUUAAUAUACUUUUAAAUAAAAUAUAUUUCAAUCCAUUACACAAAUAUAAUUAAAACAAAAUACUAUAGUAAUGUGAGUAUGUGAUAAAUAAAUAAAAUAAAAAUAAUCACGUGUUACAUGUAAACUAUAUUCAAAGGAAAAACCCACUAUUAAACAAUCCAUUGUAUAAUGAUCAAUUACAAAGACCAAGUAUUACCAAACUUAAAAGUAUCUAAAUCAUACUCACUUUGCACAUUUUCUUUAUACUUGGAUCCUUUAAACACAUUUAUCCCAAUGUGGAUGCAUCUUGAGUUCUAAUCAAGGAAAUCAACCUUUGAGUAAAAUUUUCAUCAAGUUAAAGUCUCUUUAUAUCAUUGAGAACCAUAUCAAGAUUUCUUUUUGUUGGUUGCUUUCAAAGUCCCACUAGAAUUAGAAUGAACAUUUUAUAAAUUCUAGGACUUUAACAUAUGAAUUCUUCAAUGAGUCAAUCAAAUAUUAAAUUUUAUCUCCAUAGAUGGACCUCAAUGAAUUUUUCAACAAAUUAAAGGUGUUAACACUAAUUUCAUAUUAGAAAAAAAAAAAAAAUCAUGUGACACAUAUUGAUAUAUAUAUAUAUAUAUAUAUAUAUAUAUAUAUAGGUGUUGUCUGGGAUAAAUAGAUUGAAUUCAUGAGAAAAUUAUUCUUAAUUUUGUAAAAAUUAUAUAUAUAAGAAAGUUUUUAGACUUACUAAAACACAUUACUAAUCAAGUGGUAAUAUUUAUAUCUCAUUAUUUUGUAAUCAAGUCUCAUUCAUUUGUAUCACAUAUGAGUCCUAUUAUUUUAUACCUUACUCUUAUUAUAUUGUACUUUGAUCUUAUUUGUUUAUACAUCGAUUUCAUUUCUUUAUAUGUUCAUCAUAUUUAUUUAUAUCUCGAUCUUAAUUAUUUAUAUCUUUCAAUAGUUUAGAUUUCAAUACAUAUUUUUAAAUAUUUUAAUUGGAAAUUCAAUAUCUUACUAUUUUUCUAAAUAGCUACCUAUAAUCCUUUGUAGACUCAAAAUUCACUUCAAGCCAUCAAAAAAAUCGACCUCUCUUUGUAAGUUGCUAUACUCAUUGCUAAACUAUAAUUCCAAAAAUAGCAGAACUUUUCAUACUUAUUCUAGGCAAUUAGAGUCGAGAUGUUCCAGGCAUAUACCAUUGUCUUUCAAGAUUUGAAAGAAAUGUUACGAUUUCAGCAUGAAAUAAUGCAUGUCGAUUAACAAUAUUGCUCAGAUUCUUUAGGCAAAGGUCCCAGCCUAGAGAUUGAUAAUGUUUCUUUGAAGCAAAAUGACAAAAUGGAAUAACACAAGAAAGCCAGAACCAAUUAAGUGUCCACAGACAAAAAAAUUUAUUUAUUUAUUUUCUGAACCACCCCUGAAAUUGACACCUCCCAUACAGUCUGCAUUUCUGUGGCACUAUUUCCCUUAUUCCUAACCAUAAAUCUGCUGCCAUCUCAAUAAUUCACAUCCUUAUCCACUCCUUAUCUAGGGUUGUAACACUUUUUUCAAAAAGAUUUUUUUUUUUUUUUUUCUAAGGGGUGGAUAAGGGUCCUGAGACAAGCUGUGGAAUAAUUAUAAACCCACUUGGGUAAUGGUUUCAUUGUCAGGGUAAUACUAUUUAAGGUGAAAAUCAGCUGGGUCUAUCAUUCUUGUUUCCAUAUGACUGUUUCCAAGGAUAACUCAACCUUCAAAUCCAUCGAGCAGUCAUAUAAAAAUACACGCAGAUUUCAUAUUUUGAAGCUUGUCCUGUGUUCAGAUCGGAUAACUCACUCAUAUGCCUAAUCACCAAUCGCCAACUUGAGCGUAAAAAAAGCGUGGGGCGAUAUUAUUUGUAUAUGGGUUUGACUGUUUGAGAGAGAAAGGUGGGGUGUCCCUUGGAGGAGUCCAAAGGCCAUUUUUGAACCUGCCUUUGAUUAUCGCCAUGGCAAAUCAACAGCUUGUAGUGUAUAUAUAUAUAUAUAUAUAUAUUAAUGGAGACCAAGACUCAAAUAGAGAGAGAGACGCGGGAUGCGAUAAAGAGAACAGUAUAGCCAAGAGUAUAUAAGCAUUUCUAUUGCUGUAAUGGUGAUUCAGAGACUGGAAAUGUGUAUAUCACUGCUGAAAAUGGCAGUAGAGUUUGUGCUUGUUUUCGCGGAGGCAGUCGGGCUAGUCAUCAACCACAAUGCCACGCCGCUUUUGGCAAACUCAGCCUCAGUUGGCAAUGAUGUUUCUGUCCCUUUUAUCGGUUUUCUUCUUUGAAUUCUUCGUCUUGUAGUUUCCUUCCUUAGCAGAAUGCCCAUUGGCCAUUGUAUACGUUGAGGUUUCAUUUUUGUCUUGAUAGAUUUUGCCUUGGAAAGUGUCUGUACUACCAGCUAAAAGAUGUGAAUGUUUGAUAGGAGAGAGUACAUAUAACAUCUUUGUAAACUUCGAUUAAUUUUGGUUCUGGGUGAGCUUCAUCUUCUGCAAAUUCAUUUGCUGGUAGCUUUGGAAAUGAAUCUUCAGUGGUUUGGGUGGUGAUUAUUUGCUUGCUUCACACGAUUUUAUGUGUUGUUCCUUUGGUAAUAAUCUUGUUGGAUGGAUCAAGGAGGAGCGAUGAUCAGGAAAAUAAAGUCGGGAGAAAGAAAAGAUAUAAUGAUGAUUAAGAAAGGCUUUAAUAUACUUGCAAGAUCAGGAAAAAAUAUUUCUUGGUUAAUCAAUUAUUUUCUUGCUUGAUAUGGGUUUGAUACUUUUUGUCAAUUGGUGAUCAUUCUGGGAAGAUCAGGAAGAAGAAAAUGGGGUCUAGAUGAAGAAAAGCUAUAAUGGUGAUUAUUAAUUGAAAUCAGAUGAAAUAAAAGUCUGUUUCCAUCAUUCUUAAUAGGGUUUCAUAGUCCCCGCAGGACUUUAGUACUCAUCAAACUCAUAAAUUUUGAACAACUUUGAGCUAACCUUCUGCAUUAAUUUGGUGCAUCUGCGCAGUUGCAGAGUAUGAACACCCACAAAAUCUUAAUAUGAAUCUUUUGGGGCAAUAGCUUCUAUAUAUGAUGGAUGAUAAGAACAAAGCAAAUCUUGGGUUCUCCAUGGCCACGAUCAUUUAUCCGCCAUAUAAAAUGCAGAUUUUCCUAACACCAACCCCUUAUUUUAAUAAAGUCAAGUUAUUUUAAGGCCCCCAUUAUUAGACAUGCCCUAGAAGCAUUGGGUCUGUGAUUAAAAAAAUGUAGUAAUAUCAUUUAAAAUAUCUAACACUGAAAUUUUGAUAAUUUUGAAUGUCAUAGUGUGGAUUUGAAGAAAGAAAUCGUAUCCAAGAUCUCUUCCUUUUCCUGGGAAACAUUAGUCUUGGUCAAUUAUGAACUGUUACACGUUACCUAUCAUGAUCAUAUUUAUAUUAGCUUUGAUUUCUAUGGGGGUUAUAAUUUAUUUGUAUGCUAAUCAUAGAGGUGAUACAUGUGAUCCACAUGUCAUAUUUGGACUUGGAACCAAUCAUUGGAUUCCUUUGAUGAACUGGCAAUGGAAGAAUACUAAUUGCUCCGGUCCCUUUCUUUUUUCAACGUAGGAUGAUCAGGUCCUUUGAUCUCUUCCACACCCACUGGCUGUUUUUCUUUGUUCCUUUUUCAAUCAUCCAUAGCUGAAAAGCCUUGAUGCCCUCCUUGACUUUCCCAAGAUAAAACACCUUAUCUUCACUUUCUUUCUUUUCCCUUUAAAUUUGAUUUUAGAUCUGAAAUCCAGGGCUUAUGACCCUGUAGAAGAAAGACAGAUAUGAAGCUUGGGAUGAUUUGAACUUCAGUUUGAUUUUCUGCACACUGUUUAAAACUCCUGAAAUAUAGUUGUAUAUUGCAAUACAUUUAUAAUUGAUACAACUGAACCAUGAUGUUUCUAUUAGUAAAAAUUUCUUUGAAUCAAUCCACAGUUCAAAGUACCAAUUUCAAUUGAAACUUUUUUCUUUUCCUGCUUAUUCAAUUGUUUCGUUUUCCACAUAAUGGUAUGACAACAUCAAGAAUACUUCUCAGCAAUUGCCUGCAGGUGAACCCAAAGCUCUUUUGGCUGAGACAUCAUGACCAUGUGAUCAGAUCCUUUAAUCUCUUUAACAGCAUCAGGUGGGUUUUCUUCGAUCAUCCAGAGUUGAAAAUCCUUUUUCGCCAGCUUGUCUUCCUCAGAAAUAAUAAAGACACGUUUAACCGAGGCAUAUUUCUUCGACAACAUGAGAUCCUUUGACAUGUCUUCUUCACUGAACAAGCGUAAGGGUCUCAUCAACAUAGUCCCUAGUGCCAAGUCCUGGAAAAUUUGUGCCCAAAAUGAUAUAACAACAACAAUGAAAAGUCUCAUGAUUUUGGCUGUAAGGCCUGAAUUAAUGAAGUUCUCACCUCAGUUGGGCUCAACUGAUACACAUUCAGUGAUGAGAACAAGGGGCCAAAGGUGAAAGUGGUGGGAGGAUUGUUGGGGCCAUUAUCAUAUGUGAACUGGCUGUCUAGUAGAGGACCUUGUCUCCUGAGUGACUUCAAUAAGAAGUAGAAACCAGGCUAAAAGUCAGAAACAGGGGAAGCCUUCCCCUCUUAAUCAACAAGUAAAUUUCUGUAAAAGAAAAAUAGUAUGUAUGAAGUACCUCUUGAUUGAGAGUGGAAAUGUUGAGAGUGGGACCAGGCAUUGAGGCAGUAACAAAAACAGCUACAGAAACCUUUUCUGGGAACUUCUCCAUGGCCUGAGAAAUGGCCAACCCACCCAAGCUGUGUCCAACGAGAACCACCCUUUCAUCUGCAGGGAGUGACUCCAUGAAGUCCCUCAGUGGCUGGAAAUACUCAGAAAUAGAUCGCAGAUCACCCACUUGUUUUGGGUUAAUUCCAGAAGCAGCCAAGUCCAGAGCAGUGACUUUGUGGCCAGAUGAUUUUAGUAGUGCCACAAUCUUGUACCAAGACCAGGCACCAUGGCAAGACCCAUGAACUAGAACAUAGUGCUUGACGGGAUUAGCCUGUCUCCCCUCUGAUGCCAUUGAAUACACUGAAGAAACAAGAAAAAUCAGAAAGGAAACUAAAAUCGUAUGCUUCUUCCUUUCCUGCGUACUCCUUUCCUGUUACAGAGAUGGUCAGCACCCAAGCAUUUUAAAGGGCACAAUUGGCUUUCACUACAACUACUAAUCUAAUGGAUUAAAAUUUUUCCUGUGAAAUUGACUCUAGAAAUAAAAUAAGGAUUAAGGAUUCAAGAAUAUGUACACAUAGACUGCCAGGGUUUAAAAGAUGACACAUGCACCUGCGUCACACUCUUUUUCAAUGAUAAAGAAGUUAUGCAAAGGAAGAAAGAAUGAAAUAUACAGAGUCUAGUAGUUAACUCCUCCCCUUGAAUUCUUCUGUUGCCCGGAUUGGUUUGUAACUGCAAACAUUUUCUUUUCCCAAUGUGAUCUGUGGAUUGAGUUCUGAUCUCAAUUUGUUUUUGGCAUUUUUGGUUUUGCUUCUGCAAAUCUUGAGAUGUAUCUUUCAAUUAAUAUAAGUAAGUUAUGCAGUAAAGGUUUUUGGACAUAUAAAAUGUUAGCCAAACCUUUCCCAUGGCGGGUUGAAGGUACUUUGGGGUAGGCUUGGUCACGCUUGAUACCUCAAUCGGACUGAAACAUGAUGUUUUCACCCAUUUGAAUUGGUCAAAGCUGUGUUGACUGGCAUGAUUCCUUUAAUAAAGAAGUUGUUUUUGGAUUAAGGCCUACAACACCAAUUUCACUUAAAUACAUCUAUUUAAUAAUUAUGUAUUAACAUAAUUAUAAUCAAUUGAGUCGAAAACAAUUAAAUUAAAAAGUUAAUUAUAUUGACUUAAAUAAAAUCUGACUCAACCAGAUUAUUAAAUAAAUUACUCAACUUAUUACAUGUUUAAUAAUUAAGUCGUAUUUGGGUUUAUACUUUUAACUCAAUUAUUAUUCAUGUUAUAUUUGUGUUGACUUAUUAAGUCACAGUAUCUAAAUUUAAUUUGAUAUGACAUGAACACUACCCACCAACAUUAAUUGUAUCCCCUGUUUUAAGUUCCGGUGGCAUCAUGAGUUUGGCCUCUGUUUUGAGUGUUGAAUUAACCUUUCCCAUGGUUGUCAAGUUCUUCAUAAAUUAUUGGUGAUUGUAAUAAUUUCCUCAUAAAUUAAUGGCGCUAUAUGCUUCUUUAGGAUCCAUUGAUCUUACUAAUUCUCUUCCUGGUAUGGGAAGAAAAUGACUCUUCCAUUAAUGCAGCAUGCAUUGCUACUUAUUUAUCAAGCAAAUUACAUUAUUAUUUUCACACCAAACCUCCAAAUUCAUCAUGUACUUAUCCUAUAUACUACAUGGUGAACUUUAGAGAGCUAAAACAAGCUCUUCUUGAUUAAAGAUAGAUAAUGUCCUAUUGACCUUUUUACUUUGAUGCCUUGAAAUGAGAAAUUUGGAUGUUUUCUACAUCAAGCUUCUUGAAAUUAUUGUGCUUUCUCGUAGUAAAGAAUUUUCCCAAGUUGUGUACUUUGGCUUUUCCCCCUUUGUCAUCUCCUCCAAGGGUUGCACCCAAACACGGUGUUCGGGAUUGAAAAAGAACGGAAUCAAAAACCUUUCCCUCUCUGAAUUCACCAUCACCCUAUGCUCCACACUCUCAUAAGUAUCGUUGCUCCAUACCUGAUUUAAUAUCAAGAUAAUUAGACAAAUGGGUGUGUAAAAUUCCUUGAGCCAAACUGUACUGAUAAGCAAGUACUAAAGACGAUACAGGCUUUGAGAGUUAAAGGUCGUUCUUUCUAUAAAUCAAGGCAAUAAGUAUAUAUACAACAUACAACAUAGUUGCUGUUACAGGCUUACCAAAUUAAUUCCACAAUAAAGGAAACUAUACAUGGUUGGUUACCAAAACAAAAAUAGGAGAUUAGCUAUACAUAUUACUAAAAUAUAGGAUUUGAUAAAGAUUGAAGUGGACUUUCAAAUGAACCAUUUUCCUUAUCAUGACCCCUCAAGAUAGACUUCGAUUGAAUGCCUAGCUUGACGCACAAGUGUUGUAGAUGAGCUAAGGAUUGUGGCUUUGUUAAGGCAUCAACAAGUUGAUCCGCGAAAGCAAAAUGAGGCACGCGAAAAGUGUAAUCUUGAACUCACAAAAUGAAAAUAAAUAGCAAUAUGCUUCAUCCAAAAUGUAAAAUUAGGUUGGCGCAUAAGUAGGUGGUACCGACAUUAUCACAAUAGAUUGGCAUGGGUUUGGGAACUGAAAUACCCAACUCAAGUAAUAGGGAGUUAAGCCAAAGAAGUUUGGAAGAAGUUGUAGCUACAACAUGAUACUCUACCUCAGUUGAGGAACGGGCAACAAAUGUUGCUUCUUUGAACUCCAAGAAAUGACAUUAUGACCUAAAAACACAACAUGAGCACUAGUUAAAGUACGAUCAUCACGAUCACCAAUCCAAUCUACAUCGGAGAAGGCAUGAAGGCUAAGAGGGGAUCCUUUUCGAAGAAACAAACAAUGAUGCGUUGUACCUUUAAGAUAACGGAGAAGAUGUUUGAGUGCCAACCAGUGAGUGGUAGUAAGUCUAUGCAUGAAUUGAGAGAGUUUAUUGAUUGAGAAAGCAAUGUUUGGUUGAGUGAAGAAGAGGUACCGAAGACCACCAACAAUAGAUCGAUACUUAGUCGAAUUGGUCAAGGAUGUGCCAUCCACAAGGCUAGGUAUCUGAGAUGUUGACAUAGGAGUUGUGAAUGACUUGGAAUCCAUCAUUUUUGUGUGCUCCAAAAGAUCUAAAACAUAUUUGUGUUGAGAAAGAAAGAGACCAAAUGAGCUUGGAAUAACUUCAACCCCUAAAAAAUAAGAGGCAACACCUAAAUCUUUAAUGGAGAACCGAGUAGCAAGUGUGUGAACAAAAUGAUUGAGAGUACCAUCAUCAUUGCUAGUAACAAUAAUAUCAUCAACAUACACAAGUAGGAAAAUGGUAAAUAGAGACUUCUUAUGGAUGGACAAUGAAGUGUCAAAUUUGGGGUAGAAACUGCUUCACAAACCCUUGAUGGAGUAGAAACUGCUUCAGUUCUUGAUACAAGGCACAUGGUGCUUGUUUGAGGCUAUAAAUAGCUUUCUUAAGAUGACACACAUGGCUUGGAAACUAAGGAUCAACAAACCUUGGUGGUUGAGCCAUAAACACAUUUUUGGCAAAAGUCCCAUGAAGAAAAAGCAUUGUUCACAUCAAGUUGACAAAGUGACCAAUUGAAGGAAAAUGCAAGACUAAGAAUGAGUAGACCAGUAGUAGGUUUCACAACCGGGCUGAAUGUCUUAGCAUAGUCAAUACCAGGGAGUUGAUGAAAACCCUUGGCGACAAGAGGAGCCUUGUAUUGAGCAAUAGAGCCAUCAGGAUUGCGUUUGAUUCGGAAAAUCCAUUUGCAACCAACUAGAUUCUGUGACUUAGUAGAAGGAUUCAACUCCCAUGUGCCAUUAUGAAGAAGAGCAUCAAAUUCUUCAAACAUAGCUUAACACCACUCAAGAAGCUUUAAAGUUUGGGUAACAUAGGCAGGUGCAACAUCAGGAGUGGUAGAGACAAAAGCAUACUUGGUGGAUGGUUUGAAGACAUUAUUCUUGGAUCUUGUAACCAUGGGAUGGGUGUUGAGGGUAGGGGGUCGAGUGGGUGGGAUGGGGGAAGGGGUAGGAUGUGGGGUUGAAAGCAAGAUUGGGCUUGGAGGGAAACUAUGUUGGGAUUGUGUAGUCUCAGCAUUGGGGGGUAAUAUAAUUGACUGGCCAGCAAGAGUGGUAUCAUGAAUGGUCGAAUGCUUAACUGGAGUGGUACCUAAGAUUGUAUUGUCCUGUGAUGAGGGAAUUGAUACGAGAGGGAAUGGAAUAGAUGGGACUAUGGUGGGUGGAGGUUUCUCGGCAGUUGAAGAAAAGAGGACCAUUAUCUCAACAAAGGUGACAUGAUGAGAGGUGAAUAACUUGUGGGAAACUCGAUCAAGGCAAAGGUAUGCACUUUGUGUAAGAGAGUAACCUAAGAAGACACAUGGACGAGAUUUGGAUUGAAGUUUGUGGUCAUUAUAUGGGAGUAACUAAGGAUAACAAAGACAACCAAACAUUCAUAAUUUGUCAAGAAUUAGGUUUGUGAUUGAAUAAUUUCUCAUAGGAAGAGAGGAAUGAGAGGUUUGGUUUAAGCAUUCGAUUAAUAAGAUAGACUAUAGCUUAAAAGGCAAAGGGCCAAAAAGAAGUAGGAAUGGAUGCAUGAUGGAAAAGGAUGAGUCUGGUUUUGACAAUGUGUCUAUGAUGACGUUUGGAGUAACCAUUAUGCUUAGGAGUAUGAGGUGGGGUGGUGAGAUGAGUAAUGCUAGCAAGAGCAAAAUAAUCUUUUAACGCUAGAAAUUCACCACUAUUGUCAUAAUAGAUUUGAAUUAUUUUGGAACUGAAGUAGUUUUCAACUAGAGCUUUAAAUCGAACAAAAACAUCAUAGACAUUAGAUUUCUUUUGAAGUGGAUAUAACCAGACAUAUUUGGUGAAGUGAUCGACAAAGAUAACAUAGUAUUUAAAGUUAUCAUUUGAUACAAUGGGAGAACUCCAAACAUUUGAGUAAAUAGUUUGUAAAUGAGAUGAACUUGUAAUAGAUGAUGUAGAGAAAGGUAGUUUAUGACUUUUAUUGCACUUACAAGAAUUACAAGCAAAAGUAGAAAUAUCAUUAGAUGAUAAAGAAUGACUCUUAGAGGAAACUAAAUAUUGAAGAACUUUGGAAGAGGGAUGACCAAGUCGAUGAUGCCAAUUUGGAAGUGAAGUCUUAACAUUGGAAAAUACAAUCAAAGGUUUUUUCGUAGUAGGAGAAUUCAACCAUACAUAAAAACCACCACUAUAGAAUAUAGAAUAUAAUUUUAUAUUUAAUUAAUUUUGCAUUUAAAUAAUAUAUGAUAAAGAUAUUACUUUUAUAUUUAAAUAAUAUAAGAUGGUAAUGAGAUAAAAAUGAAUGUUUUUAUGGUUAUAGGAAUAAAGAAAAAUAAAAUAAAAAAGAUUUCAAUUACUUAAUUAAUAGUAAUCCUAAUUUAAUUUCAAUUAAUAUUAAUCUUAUUUAUAUCUUUCCUUUCUUGAAUAUACCAUAAAAAGAUUUAAGUAGUAAAUAAAUACAUGGGUAGAAGGAUACAUCCAGUCAUGAGGUGUACCUAUAUAUUAAUUUUAUAUUUAAAUAUUAUAGAAUAUAAUUUUAUAUUUAAUUAAUUUUGCAUUUAAAUAAUAUAUGAUAAAGAUAUUAGUUUUAUAUUUAAAUAAUAUAAGAUGGUAAUAAGAUAAAAAUGAAUGUUUUAUGGUUAUAGGAAUAAAGAAAAAUAAAAUAAAAAAGAUUUCAAUUACUAAAUCAAUAGUAAUCCUAAUUUAAUUCCAAUUAAUAUUAAUAUUAUUUAUAUCUUUCCUUUCUUGAAUAUACCAUAAAAAGAUUUAAGUAGUAAUCUGGGAUAGAUAUUAAUUUUAUAUUUAAGAAAUAUAGGAUAUAAUGUAGAGAAUAGAGAUACACAAACAUAUUUUAUAUUUAAGUAGUAAUCUUCAUGAGCUUUACACAAACAAAAAACUUAGAUGUUUACAUCAUCUAGAAGCCCCACUUCGCCUCUCUCUCAGCCCUCAGCCCUCAGGCUUAAGAAGUUGUCAUGAGAAACCUAACACAAACCUUUCUUAUAAUUAUUGUUCAUAGUCGUAGCUACCAAGAAUUCCAAGUUAGGAAGAAAAAAAGAAUCAUAAAUACAGCAAAAAUAACUUCCACUACAUGCGGCAGCAGGGGUACCAAAUUAGGGAAAUUAAGAAGUAAACCAUGCCCAAUCAAUUGCUGGGAAAUAUUAUUUGGAUAUCAAAUUAGGGAAGCUAUUAAGUGUGGUUUUUGUAGUGUUAAAUCAGAGAGAAAUUUAAUUAUAUUAUGAAUUUCAAAUUUAAUUAUUCUAAGAACAAUGAAUUACUCUAAUAGAAUUUAAUGUAUAAAAACAUUUCAAACACUCGCAACAUAUAUCAUUUUCAUUUUUUCCAAAAGCACCAAAACCCUAUAACAAUGAAAAUAAACCCAAUAACAAUGGAAAUAAACCAAAUAACAAUGGAAUCUCAAACCUAAUCACAAACAUUUCCAAAAUACCAACUAACAAAACCCAAAAAAAAAAAAAAAUUCCCAAAACUCACCAAAACCUAGAGAGAUGAUUUUCACGGGAGUUUCUUGGAGGUGGCUUCAGCUUUACCGACCAUAGCUUCCAUGGGGCUUCUUCAGCAUGGCUUCCAUAAGCUUUUUUUGACAAUAGCUUCCUCCAAGCAAUGGGGGUUGUGGGUAGGUUUUGUGGGUUUUAUGGCCGUGGGUUUUGGAGAGGAAGAGAAAAUGGGUUGGCAGGAGAGAGAAAGAAAGGCUUUAUAUUCGAUUAGGAAAGUGAUGUGGCCGUGGGGUAUACCCACAUGGUUAAAAGAAAGACAUUUUUCCAUUAGAAAAAAAUGUCUCAUGGCUUUUUUUAUUGUUAUUGUUAUACCCAAAAAAAAUAAUUUAAUUUUAUUGUUAUACCCUAAAAUUUUUUUAUUGUUAUUGUUAUUGUUCUGUGUUCAGAACUAUUAAUUUAAAAAGUUUUUCAAGUUUUAAAAUUAUCAAAUUUUUAAAAUUUACAAUUAUUUUAAAAUUUUAAAUUUACAAUUAUUUUUAAAAUUUUAAAUUUAAAUUAAUUUUGAAAGUUCAAUGUUUUACUCAAAGUGUUAUUCUAAAAUUUUUAUUAAGUUUUAUCAAGUUUUUUAAGUUUUAAAAUUAUCAAGUUUAAAAUUUAAAAAUUUUAUAUAAAUACAAAGAAUAAUUAAAAAUAAAAUAUAACAUAUAAAUGUUAUUUUUUAAAACAUAUUUAAAAACAUAAAAAAUAUAUAUUAAGAAUAUUUUAGGUUUCUAAAUCAACUUUUAUUUUAAAAUACAUCGGCAAAAAAAUUUUUAAAAAUGUUUUAAAAAACCGUUUUUUGUAUAAUUGUUUAUGAAAAUGUCAAAAUACUUCACAAAUAAACCAGUUCGAGUCCCCUCAGGGCCUCGUGGGAUUAGUCGAGAUGUGCUUAAGCUGGUCCGGACAUCCACGGUUAUAAAUAAAAAAUAAAAAUAAAAAAAUAAAAAAUACUUCACAAAUAAAACUAUAAUUUAUUGGUAUUUUUGUGGGCCUUAGGUGUUAGGAAAUGUUAUAUGUGCAUCCUACUCCUACUCUGUCUUCAUUAUUUUCAGUCCCUUUAUAUCUUAUACCAAUCUACUAUUAUUUUAUCAUAUGGUAUCAGUUUUUCAUAUUUGAUGAUAUUAAUUUCUACCUUAUCCCAUAUGCUUGUAGCUUAAUUUCAUUAUACAUUUGGACAACAGAAUUUCAGACUUCCAUUUGGUACUAAAUAUAAUAAACAUAAACAGAGAAUGAUGCAUUUAAGAAUAUUUUUCCAUGAAUUUUAACUUUAUAAAUUUGUUAAUUUUACAAAUUUAAGAAUUAUAAAAGUUUAGAACUUUUAUUUUUAAUCAUAAACAGAGGAUGUUAUUUUUGUAGUUAUAAAUUGUUUUUGUAUUGCAAAAAUCAUAAAGAUUAAAUAAUAUUUUAUGAUUGAAAAUUAAAUAAAACUAUAAACAAUUUUACUAGUAAUUGUUCAUAGUAAAAUUUAGUUAUCAUGACUAUUGAUACUUUAAAUAUAAUAAGAAUUAUUUAUCAUAUAUAAAAUCAAAAUUGUUUUUUAAUUUGCUAACUCACUUGCAUUUAAACUUUUUAUCAAAUAAUAUCAAAUUGAACCAUCAUAUUUUUAAACUAAUUUAUUAAACUUUAUUUUGCUUCUUAUUAAAACAUUAAUUAUAACAAGGAAAUUAAAUAAUUUUAACUAAAGAAAAAUAGGUAACACACUAAUUUGUUUCUUAACUUAAAAAAAAAUAGUAAUAUAACUUUAAACUUUUUAUAAUUAAUAAGAACUAUUAUUAUUACUAUUAAUGAUAAUUUCUAUUUAUGAUAUAUAUAUAUAUAUAUAUAUAAGAUUUUCUAAAAAAUUAUAAUAGGUAACCCAAAAAUUGUUUAAAAUAAAUAAUAGACUUUGGUCACGAUUGUGUGAACCCCGUGGCCAUAGGUUCAAAAUAUUUAAAAAAAACUCUAUGCAUUGGUAAUGGUCAAGCGAAAUUUGUAACUACAGGUUCUUAUACAGUCACGGUCAAUCAAUGGCGUGACUAAAAGUCACGGUCAAUCAAUCACGUCACUCAAAGUCACAAAAUAUCUAUUUAGUGACGGUUUCACAAAAACCUGUGACUAAAACAUCUUUUUCAUUACACUUUUUGUCACGGAUGAUAAAAUAACCGUGACUAAAGUUAUUGGCGCCAAAAUUUCCCUCCAUAAAUUUACAAAUAGUCACAGUUUUAAAUAAAUCCGUGACUAAAAUACCUCUUAUUAAUCCUUUUGGUGACGGUUGAUAAAAUCACCGUGACUAAACAUGUUUUUUUUUUUUUCCAAAUUUGAUUUAACACAUAUAGUCACAACCUUACCCAAUAAUAUCUUUGGUGGGCCGUGACUAAAGAUUCGUCAUUAAAAAUCUAUUUUUUUGUAGUGCUAGUUGGUCCAUGCAAAAUUCUUGCCCCCGUACAUAGACCAUUCACAUAAAAACAAGUGGGUAAGAAUUCAAUGAAAACAUUAUUUGUUAAGCAAAAUUGGGAAAUUGAAAUCAAGUUCUUUUUCAUGGUGAGAACACAAGGGAUAUUAUUAAGUUGAAGUAGCUUUAAUGCAGUUGGGAGGGUGGUGGAUCCUGUGUGUGUGAUUUCUAGACCUUUACCAUCACCAAUAAUUAUGUCGUCUGGGCCAGCAUAGUCGGAAUGCAAAGAUAGAUUCUGAAGAUCAUUAGAUAUGUGGUGUGAGGCACCAAAAUCCAAGACCCAAUUUGGAGAGACAACAGUUGGUUGAGUUGUCGCAUGUGUUUGUGCAGAAGAGGGGCGGUAACUGUAAUUGGGUGGAACACCAUGAUGUUGACUGGCAAUAUAUCGAAAUGAUGGACAUCUUUUCGCUGAGUGUCCUUGAACACCACACAAUUGACAAGUCCCCUUAUAUGGAUGAGGGGUGUGAUUCGAAGUAUUCGAGGUAGUCAUUGGUUGAGGUUGUUUGGAUGUACGGUAUUGAGACGAAGAGUAAGGCUGUUGAUUGAAGAAUCGAUGCGAUUGUGGUUGUUUGGUAGCAGCAUUGGUGGAAGCAGGCAAUGAGACAUUCCAAGAAGAAUACUUGGCAGAUUCUCAUAAAGUUUGAGCCUCAAGAGGAAGCAAUUUCUCAUAAAGUUCCUCAAAGGAAAAACAGUUUCAUGGGCAUGGAUGGUUGAGUGUAAAUCUUUGUACAUCUCAGGCAAACCAUGAAAUAUUUGAAUAAUGAAGUCCUCAGGGUCUAUGGUGACGUUCAUGAGAUAGAGAACAUCAACGCAAAUUUUAACAAAUUGCAUAUACUGUGUUAUGGACUGAGUGCCUUUGGACAAGUUGUCGAGUUGAGUCCGAUAAUGAAUUAUUCGGCUUCGAGAUGCUUUAGCAUAGGUGUUGUGAAGUGUAGACCAAGCCUCAAGGGAGGUUGUGGCUGAUGCAAUGAAUGAGAAAAUUGUUGGACUAAGUGAUGAAACAAUAGCAUUAAGAAGAUGGUCUUGACGAAUCCAAUGGGUGUAAGCUGGGUUUGGGGUUGUAGUACCCUUUUCAGAAGUAAGAGUGCUAGAAGGACAUGGUAAAGUGCCAUUGACAUAUCCCAGUAAAUCAUAACCGACUAGGAGAGUGUAAAAUUGGAGUCUCCAUGCAGAAAAAUUGUGUUGAGUGAGUUUGAUGGGGGUUUGGGAAGAGGCGUUUAUGGCUAUGAGGUUUUGAGUAGUGUAUAUAGAGAUGUUGGCAGCAGUGUCGAUGGAGGAAACAAUUGAGGGGGAAGGGCUAGAGCCUUCGUUGGUUUAUGGGUUUGGUGAGGCAUGAGAAUCAACUAUGUGAGCUAUGGUUGCUCUGAUACCAUAAAGACGAUACAGGCUUUGAGAGUUAAAGAUUGUUCUUUCUAUAGAUCAAGGCAAGAAGUAUAUAUAUAGUAUACAACCUAGCGUUACAGACUUACCAAAUUAACUCCACAAUAAAGGGAACUAUACAUGGUUGGUUACCAAAACAAAUAUAGGAGAUUAGCUGUACAUAUUACUGAAAUAUAGAGACGAUCACGGAGGAUUUGAUAGAGAUUGAAGUUGACUUUCAAACGAACCAUUUUCCUUAUCAGGUACUAAUUCAAAGUUCUUGGGUGGUACUUGAAUUAUAUCCCCAACAUUGAUGAUAUAUGCAUCUAGGGUGGGCUUAACUCGAAUCCAUUCUCCAUCAGUUUUUUGCUUUACUUCCAACCCUCUGACAUCAUCCUGGGCAAGGAUGGUUAAGGCUUCGGCAUCCUUUUGGCAACGAACACCCAGAGCUAGGUGAGGGAUGGGGCAUGGUGGGUAGUGAUUGAGGCGGAUGAAGGUAGUUGAUUCUUCAAAGAAAAGAUUGAAUCUGUUUUCCGGCAAACCUAAGCUCAGAGAGAUGAGUCCCAACAUCUUGAAAGCUAGUUUUUCCAUUUCUCUAGCAUAUUCUUCACAUACCUCCCUGUAUAAAUUGGUUCAAUUAGAACCAAAAAACCAAGUAAAUCAUUGAAGUGACUCUGCCUUAGCUGGUGGAAUUUGUACCUUAAUUCAGGAGAGUACUGAGGCCACUGAUUGAUCAACUCUUUGAGCUCCUUGUCGUCAGGAUCAGGCGAAGCAGGGAUGAAGGCGGGGGAUGACACCACGAAAUCAAAGACUUCCUUCCAGUCCCUAACGUUCUUGGUAUGCUCAGUAUCAAAAUACCACAAAGGAUUCACCCCAUCUCUACUCACCUUCCUCUUCUCCUACAAUGGCAGAGCGAAGAACUUCCUCGCCGCAUCCUCAAUUUUCCGGCGAGACUCCGAGGGCAUCCCAUGGUUGAUGACUUGAAAGAAGCCUCGAUUCUUGGAUGCAUCAGCUAUUUGAGAAACAUGGUUAGAGGCAUUGGCGGAAGAGAGAUCAAUGAGUGGGAUGCCUUCAGCUUCGAUAACAACGAGCUUAGGCCCAUGUUGGGUGUCUUGGAUGAAGGCUGGAUCGACCUCUCCCAUGGCUGUGGUAGUGAUUAGAACCUAGAAAUGGUGGUUAUGCACUGGUAGCUGCAGGUUGAGAUUGUGAAGGGGACUUGGGCCACUUGGCAGGUGAUUUUUGUAGUGUAGUGGGGUUGGUUUGGUUCAUUGAACCUUGACAUAAUGACAUAAAUGGGAUACGUUUUAUAAGUUCAAGGAAUCAUGGUAUUUGGAAAAUAUGAAUGAGUUGAAAAUUUUAAAAAAUAGGUUUAUAGGAGUAUAUUUUAAGGAAAAUAAUUUUCAAAUCAUAUCAUGUAUAGGAUAGUGACUUUGUACAUGUUUGAGGGGAAUCAUGUCAAAGUGCACUAUUUGAAAAACAUGGCUAAAUUGUAAACUUAAAAAAGUGGUUUCAUGGAGAGUACAUUAUGAGAAAAAUAAUUUCCAAAUCAUGUACUAAAAUAAUAACUGUAUCCAUGCUUCCAAAACUACUAUUCAACAUAUUUUCAUCAUGUCACAUUUUCCUAUGACGUCAUUGCCCUCAUUUCUUAGAAGAAAAACCCUUUCUGUUCUACUUUACUUUACACUGUUUGUUCCUAUAACCCUUUCCUUUUUUUAAUUUUAAUUUUUUUAAAAAAAUAUUUCUCAUCUAUUUUCUCGAUUUUUAAAAUUCUAUUUAAUUAAAAAAAUUAGAAUUUUUUUUAAAGUACAAUUCAUUUAUUUAUUUUUUCAUUUUAUUUAAAUGUGAUGUAUAAUUAAUACAUUAACAUAAAUUAGUUUUUAAUAUAAAAAUAUAUUCAUCUAUAAUAAUUAAAAAUCUAAUAAAUAAAUAAAUAAAUAAAUAUUAGUAUUUUAAAUAAUAUUGAUUUCGUAUAUACAAUAUUUUAUUUUGUUUCAUUAUUAUAGAUCUCAUUUUCUAUAUUUUUUAUUUCUAAUUUUUCUUAUAGAAUUUUAAACCUAGAUUUUUUAAAAAUGAAAUUUAAAAAAACACUAGAAAUUAAAGUUUUUGUUUUCUUCAAAAUAAAAACAAAAAAAAAAUAAUAUACAAAAAAAAAAUAUUAGUUUACCUUUAAUUUCAUUCAACAAAAAAUUAGUAAUGAUAAUUUUUUAAGAGUAUUUAAUUUUAAAAGUAAUAUUUGAAGAUAGGUAAAAUAAAAAUUUUAAAAGUGUUUGUAUUAAAAUUUUGAAUAUAAAUUCACAACUCCCAUCAUAAUACAUUGAUAUUUAAAAUAAAAAAAACCCCUAAUGAUUUUUUUUUAUUAUAUUAAACAUGUAAAAAAAGUACAUUUUUGUUUAAUUAAAAAUUUAAACCAUUAAAAUUGUUUUUUUCUUUAAUAAAUAAUGUUUUUAAAGAGUACAUUAUACCUAUUUUUUUGGGCAUGUUAUUUAAUAAUUGCUACCAAAGUCAUAACAAUGACAAUAAAAAACUAAAUAUAAUAGUGCAUAUUUGCUAUCUAUAGUGGUACUUUUAGUUACUAACAUUAUUAUUUUUAAGUAAAAAUAAUGUUAUUAUUUCCUGACAUAUUUGAUGUAGAGGUUGAAGUGAUGACAGUGCUAAAUAAGUUAGUACAUCCUAUUAUCUACAGUGAUAUUUUUAGUUACUAUUAUUAUUAUUUUUAGGUAAAGACAAUGUUACUAUCUCUAGUGAUACAUUUGAUGUAUGGAUUGGAGUGGUGAUAGAUGAUGUAACAACUGUGUAUAUGGGGUCAAUCAAGUGUAAUUGUCCUCUUAUUUGUAUAGAUCGCAACCCACCUCCGACAGUGGUUGAAAAGUAGUCUUGGAAGCAUAUCACCAAAGGGACAUUUUGAAUAAUAAUUUGGGAAAAAGCGUUCAUCAGACAUAGCCUAAAAAGUAUAUCCCAACAUUGCUGUUUAUUUAUCAAGCAAAUUACAUUAUUAUUGUCACACCAAACCUCCAAAUUCAACAUGUACUUAGCCUAUAUACUGGAUGGUGAACGGGCUAAAACAAGCUCUUACUGAUUACAGAUAGAUACUGUCCUACUGACACUUUUACUCUGAUACCUUGAAAUGAGAAAUUUGGAGGUUUUCCACAUCAAGCUUCUUGAAAUUGCUGCGCCUUCUCGCAGAAAAGAACUUUCCCCAGUUGUAUGCUCUGUAAUUUUGCUUUUCCCCCUUCGUCAGCUCCUCCAAGGGCUUCACCCAAACAUGCUGCCCGGGAUUGAAAGAGAACGGAAUCGAAAACCUUUCCCUCUCUGAAUUCACAGUCACCCUGUGCUCCACACUUUCAUAAGUAUCAUUGCUCCAGGCCUGGUUUAAUAUCAGUAUAAUUAGCCAAAUGGGUGUAACUGAGCCAAACAGUACUGAUAAGCAUGUACUUAUAAUUCGAAGUUCUUGGGUGGUACCUGAAUUAUAUCCCCAACAUUGAUGAUAUAAGCAUCUGGGGUGGGCUUAACUCGAAUCCAUUCUCCAUCGGUUUUUCGCUUUACUUCCAACCCUCCGACAUCAUCCUGAGCAAGGAUGGUUAAGGCUCCGCCAUCCUUGUGGCGACCAACGCCCAGAGCUAGGUGAGGGAUGGGGCAAGGUGGGUAGUGUUUGAGGCGGAUGAAGUUCGUUGAUUCUUCAAAGAAAAGAUUGAAUCUGUUUUCCGGCAAACCUAAACUCAACGAGAUGAGUCCCAAUAGCUUGAAAGCUAAUUUUUCCAUUUCUCUAGCAUACUCUUCACAUACCUCCCUAUAUAAAUCAGUUCAAUUAGAACAAAAAAGAUAAGUAAUUCACUGUAGUUAUUGUGCCUUAGCUGGUGAAAUUUGUACCUUAAUUCAGGAGGGUACUGAGGCCACUGAUUGGUCAGCUCUUUGAGCUCCUUGUCGUCAGGAUCAGGCGAAACAGGGAUCACGGUGGGGGUUGACACCACGAAAUCAAAGACUUCCUUCCAGUCCCUAACGUUCUUGGUAAGCUCCGAAUCAAAAUACCCCAAAGGAUUCACCUCAUCUCUACUCACCUUCCUCUUCUCCUCCAAUGGCAGAGCGAAGAAUUUCCUCGCCGCACCCUCAAUUUUCCGGCGAGACUCCGAGGGCACCCCAUGGUUGAUGACUUGAAAGAAGCCCCAAUUCUUGGAUGCGUCAGCUAUUUGAGAAACAUGGUUGGAAGCAUUGGCGGAAGAGAGAUCAAUGAGGGGGAUGCCUUCAGCUUCGAUAACAGCGAGCUUAGGCCUAUGUUGGGUGUCUUGGAUGAAGGCUGGAUCGACCUCUCCCAUGGCUGUGGUAGUGGUUGGAAGUUAGAAAUGGGGGUUAAGCACUGGUGGCAGCAGGUGUAGAUGGUGACGGGAAAUUGGGCCACACGGCAGGUGGUUUUUGUAGUGUGGUGGGGUUGGUUUAGUACAUUGAACCUGGGCAUAAUUUGGGUUACUUUUUAAGGUUUGGUUGAGGGUGUGACCUCAUGGAUUGCGCAUAUAUUAAUGAUAAUUGGUCAAGUGAUACUGCAGUCCCAAAGGGAAUCUCUCUCAAUGAUUUUGCCGACAGCUCCCUCCACAUUAAAAUGUUUCAUCCGUAUUUGAAUUGGAGUCUAAUGCUCUGAUCAAAGAUACCUUUCGCUUAGUCGAUCAGUGUUUGAUUACUAAAUAAGAUGGUGUCACAAAUAUUUUUGAAUUCUAGGUCAAAGUUAACGAGUGCAAAGGUUAUCAAUUUGAUAAGAUAAAUUGUUUAGAAACACUUUUAAAAAUGAUUCUUGAAAAAAUAUUUUUUUAAGUUUAAAAACCAUUUUUAAAUUUAGAAUAAAGGUUUAUUUAAAAACUUAUAUUAUUAUAAACUUAUUUUUUAUAUUUUUAAAAAAUAAUUUUUAUAUAUAAUAUUUUAUUUUCAAUCAUUUUUUACAUUUUUUUUAAAAAGGUAAAACUACUAAAAAAAAUACUUAAAAUAAGUUAUCAACAAAUGUCUUAUUGUCAUGACAAUUUUCAAAAACAUGUUUUAGAAACAAUUGAAAAUCAAAGUAUUUUCAUAUUCCUUUAUUCCCAAAAACAAAAAAUUAUUCUUGGUAACGGUUCCAAAUGUAUCCUUCAUUUGUUUAUCUUAUUAUAUAAGUUUUAAAAUAAAAUACAAAAAAUAAUUUUCAAUGAUAAUUUGUUACGGUUUUAUCCAAAAUUUUUAUAUUUUUAAUCAAUUAAUUUAUUGAUACGUAUAUUUCUCAUGAGACCUUUUUCUCACUAAAAACAUUACUUUUUUAUAAGACAUUUUUAAUAAAUUAAUUUUGAUACGUAGAUUAAAAAUGUCUUAUAACAAUAUAAAUUAAUUAAAUCAUUAGUUGGCCAUUUGGUCUCAUGCUUACACAACGACUUCUCUCAUGGCUGCCUAACAUGAAUGAACAACUCUCUACAACAAGUAAGGUACACUUAAUUAAAAAAUUAUUUAAUUUAAAGAUGUUCGAGAAUGAGAAUUUCAAGUAGCACUUGAAUGAAUUUAAUGAGACCACAAAUUAAUUAAAUUCGAUGGUUAUUAAAUUUGAUGAUAAGAUUCAAGCCUUAUUAAUCCUCGGUUAAUUGCUUGAGAGUUGGAAAGACACAAUCACCUCAAUCAAUAGUUCAUCCAAAAAAUCAAAAUUGGUGUUUUCGAAUGUAGUAGACAUGAUUAUAACCGAGGAGAUCAAGAAGCAUGAAGAAGGUUUUUCAAAUUCAUGAUCAACAUUAAAUAUGGAGAGCAAAGCUAGAAAUCAUAAUAAAGGUAAUAGGCGUGAUAAAUCCAAAUCGAGGAAUGAUAGGUUGAAAUACAAAAAUUCCAUAAAUUCCUAACAUCAGACGAGUAAGAACAAUAUCAAAUGUUGGAAUUGUGAUUGGAGCUAAAAUAUGUGCUCAAAUGACAUAUAUUUGAUAUGAUUUAUAUAUCAUAAGACACUCAAAUCAUCUGACUCUACCCAAAUUGAUACUAAGGUCCUAGCCAUGAGUUUAACUUGUAUUUUGGAGAUUUAUCUCAGGUUUAAGAAAAGAAAAUGGUGUAAGGUGAAUCAAUUUAGAUUUUGAAAGAAUAAGAAGGGGUUAAAUGAGAAAAUGAACAAGUCAAGACUCAUGAAAUAUGAAGAAAGGAAAGACGAGGAUAUCGUGAGUUUGGGAGAUGAGGAAUGACCAUUAUCAUGAAGUAAGAAAUAAGGCAUACAAACAUAGAAAAUGAGGCAUGAAACAAAAUUCAUCAAGUUUGCAUGGAAAUUUGGGACUCAAAAUCUGGUAAUAACAUAUACUCUGACUUUAAAAUGAAAUUUGGAGCAUUUCCCAAAGUCCAUUUUAGGCAAGCUAUAUAUUGUUUUGAAGCAUGGGAAGUUAGGAAUUCAAAGCUUCAAACAAUGUCCAAAUUAGAGCUAAAUAAGGAAGUUAUGCACAUUUAAAGCAAACUAGUUAGAGAGAAAAACUGAGUUCGAAAUUGGUCACUUGGAUUUGAAAUGGUUUUUGUCCAUUUAAAACUCAAAGAAAUGAAAGAAAACUUUUGGCAUUGGCUAAGUUUGAAUCUCUUUACCUAUUUCAAACAAGAGGCAUACAUUUCAAAGUCAAAUGAACAUACAUGGGCAGUGAGUGAGUUCAAAAUUCACUAUGAAUUUUGAACUCACCUUGUUGAUUUCAAAUUGGACCAUUUAUUUCCCACUUAUGAGUUCAAAAUUGAUUUGAACUCACCCAAAUUUCGAACUCAACCAUUAGUGACCGAUUUUAGGCUCUGAGACAUGUCAAAACGAGUUUCAAAUGCCUUUAUCCAAUUCAAAACGCAUCAUACUCAUUUAGAACUCGUAAUUUUUGGGGUUUUUUUUAAAGGUUAUUUAUGACUUUUCGUUACAAUAAGUGGCCAAUGAGAGUGUACCACAUGUUAGGUCAUUGAAGUUACUAUAAAAACUCUUUUAGUUAUAGUGUUUAGGUGAUCUUCCAAGAGUUAGACAUUUCGUGGGGAAGAAUACGAGAACUUUUGGUUUAUUUAUUUUCUUCUUUAUUGAAUGUAUUGUUUUUAGUUUCCUUUAUUUCAAAUUAUGAAUUUUUACUUUAUUAUGGAUUGUGAAUGUGACAUUACCCCCAUGAGAGGAUAAAAAGCUAACUUGGGGCUUAAACAUAAAAACUAACGGUUAGAAAACUUAUAGGGACAUUAGGUAAAUUAUUAUAACAAUAAGAUUAAUUAAUGGUUGAGUUACAAUUUAUUAAUUUUUUAUCCUAUCAUUGUGAGUUAGUUUAGAGAAUAAUAUAGUAGGUGAUUAUUCGAUACUAGUGAUUCUUGGUAACUCUUGAUCAUUAGUAAUCCUGAUUUUUCUUAUAGUUAUCUGCCCCAAAACGAAGUUAGAAGGAGUAGGAAAUGUUAAAAAGCCAAACCUUAAAUUGAUAAUAAUUUCAUUCAUUUGAUGUGUUGACAAAUCAGAGGGUUGGCUGCAUCCAUCAACUCUCUUUGUGUUCGCCGUGAGCACUUGGGUGAAUGCACUAUAAGGUUAGAGUAUGCACAUUUCUUAACAGCAAUUGCUUUUAGGAGAAUUGGUAGUGCCUGAGGUCCUACAUGAUAGUUUUAAGAACUUGUUUUAAAAAGAAAAAUUAAGUUUUAGAUGUACUUUUGAGUUAUAGGGCUCAAGUUGAUUGCAAGCGGCCAAGAAUCCCAAAACCCUAAGAUCACUCUAGUUAAGAAACCUUUGUUAUCUCUAUUUCUAUACCUUAAGUUAUAUUGUGGAAAACCUCAAACUUAAAUCAAUUAAAUUAAAAAUCAAUAUUCGUUUUGUUAUUAAUUUAGUUUUUUUUUUUUUUUACUUAGUUUCACUUCAUAAAAGUUAAUUCACAUAUUGUUUUUCGCUUUAGGAUUUAAAUAAAAACAAUUCAUUUAUCCUAGUAUUGAAAAAUUCCAUAUGUUAGUCCCUAAGGAUGAUACCCAAAGAAUUACAAAAACCAUAGUGACUAUUUCUCUAGUUUUUUCUUAACCAAAGUUACUAUGUAAAAAGGCUUAGUAUUUUACAUAAGAGAGAAGAUUGAUCAAAUUGUGGAAAGAAGAGACAUUAUAAAAAUGAGUGUAAGGCUGCCAAGAAGGAUAAGGAUGGUGACAACAAGACCAAUGCAAAUGUUGUGUCAAAAGAAUUAGAUGAUGCUCUUAUCUGCUAUUUAGAGAGAACAACAUAAUCGUGGGUAUUAGAUUCAGGGGCAUCGUUCCAUGCUACCUCAAGUGGAGAAUUAUUUGAGAAUUAUGUCUCAGGUAAUCUAGGGAAGAAGUAUCUAGGUGAUGACCAAGCAUGUGUUGUUAUUGGCAUAAGUGAAGUGCAUAUCAAAUAUUUGAAUGGAUUUGUAUGGAAUUUGGACAAUGUGAGGCACAUUUCAAACCUGAGAGAUAAUUUUAUUUCCAUUGGGUAGUUAACAAAAGAUAGUUAUGUGACAACUUUUUUAGGUGACACAUGGAAUAUCUCAAAGGGAGCUAUUUGCCAUGGCAAGAAGAAUGAUACUCUUUACAUGACAAUGAAUGGUUGUGGGUUUAUUACAAUUGUUGAGAGCAAAGAAGAUUCGAAUUUAUGGCAUUAAAGGCUUGGUCACAUGAGCAAUGAGGGGUUGGAAAUUAUACACUCAAAUGGGAAGUUGUCAAGUUUGAAAUAAGUUGACAUUGACAUGUGUGAAAAUUGCAUACUUGGGAAACAAAGAAGGGUUAGCUUUAAGAAAGUUGGAAAAACUCCAAAAGAAGUAAAACUGAAGUUAGUUUAUACAAAUGUUUGGGGACUUGCUUCAAUUUCAUCUAUCGGUAGAAGAUUUUUUUUUGUGACCUUCAUUGAUGAUCAUUUGAGGAAAGUGUGGGUAUACUUUAUGAUACACAAAUGAGAAGUGUUUGAUGUAUUCAAGAGACGGAAAACAAUGGUGGAGAAUAAGACAUGUAUGAGAGUCAAGAAGUUACGGUUUGAUAAUGGUAGGGAGGAUGAAGAAUUUGAGUUCAAGAAGAUCUAUUAUGAAAAUGGAAUUAAAUUAGAGAAGACCGUGCCAAGGACACCUUACCAGAAUGGUAUAGCAUAAUGAAUGAACAAGACAUUGACUGAAAGAGAAAAAAAACGUGUAUACAAGCAAGGUUGUCAAAGGAGUUCUUGGCAAAAGCAAUCAACAAAACAACUUACUUGAUCACAAAAUACUGGAAAAAGUGUGAACUAAAAAAAAGGUAAAGUUUUCUCAUUUGAGGGUAUUUGGUUGUGUAUCAUAUAUAUAUAUAUAUAUGUGUGUGUGUGUGUGUGUGUGUGUGUGUGUGUGUGUGUGUGUGUGUGUAUACAUAUUAGUGAUCAUGACAUAAACAUACUUGAUGCUAAAUCACUAAAAUGUACUUUCUUAGCUAUGGUGUUGAUAAUUUUGGUUAUUAGUUUUGGGAUGACCAGAGUAAGAAAGUGAUUAGAAGUAAGGAUGUCGAUUAGAAGUAAGGAUGUCAUAUUUAAUGAGAAAGUUUUGUAUAUGUAGAGAGAUGCAACACAUUCCAAUAGUCUGGUACAACUUGAACCUAUUUACUUUGAGCCAAAUGAUGUCCCAUUGAAUAACAUGACAAAUAAGACAGGUCAUAAUCAUUAGAUUGAGGAAAAUACUGCAUAAGAUGUUAAUAUAUCACAAGAUCUAGUUUCAAUUCCUACUUUGAGGAGAUCUAACAAGCCACAUGUACCAAAUAGGAAGUAUUUAAAUUAUUUGCUACUAAUAGAUGGAGGUGAACCUAAAUGUUAUGAUGAGGCAUGUCAGAUGGAAGAUAAUAGAAAGUGGGAGCUUACGAUGAAAAAUGAAAUGAAGUCCCUUAUUCUUAACCAGACUUGGAAGCUAGUCGAGUUACCAAUGGGUAAGAAAGUUUUUCAUAAUAAGUGGGUGUAUUAAAUUAAGUAGGAGCAUGGUGGUUCUAAGAGAUAUAAGGCUAGAUUGGUGGUCAAAGGGUUUCAAUAGAAGAAAAAUGAUUGACUAUACAUACAUUUUCUCUCUAGUUGUGAAACUAACUAUUAUUCAAUAUGUUUUGAGUAUUGUAGCAAUAAAGAGUUUACAUAUAGAACGGUUAGAUGUGAAGAUAGCUUUCCUCUAUGGUGAUUUUGAUGGGGAAAUUAGUAUAUAUGCAACAACUAGAGGGUUUUGUAGUGAAGGGUAAAGAGAAUCUGGUGUGCAAAUUAACUAACAGUCUGUAUGAUUUAAAACAAGCCCCAAGACAAUGGUAUAGAAUAUUUGGUAGUUUCAUGCAAAAGAAUAGGCAUCUCAAGUGCAAUGCAGACCAUUGUUGUUACUUUAAGAGAGUUGGUUCUAUCUAUAUUAUUUUGUUACUUUAUGUUGAUGGCAUGUUAGUAGUUGACGCAAAUCUAGAUGAAAUUAACAAGUUGAAGAAAUAGUUGUCUAGUGAAUUUGAAAUGAAGGACUUGGGAGCAACAAAGUAGGUACUUGGGAUGAAGAUUAGCAAAGACAAAUAAACGAGCAUCUUAUGGUUAUCUUAGGCUAAGUAUAUAUACUCAUAAAGUAUUGCAAAUAUUCGACAUGAGUAAUGUAAGGCAAUUAGAACAUCAUUAGCAAAUCAUUUCAGGUUGUCUAAUUAAGCAUUGCCCAUGGGCAGAUGAGGAAAAAGACUUCAUGGCUAAGGUUUCAUAUGCCUUAGCCAUUGGAAGUUUGAUGUAUGUUAUGAUAUGCACGACACUAGACAUUGCCUAUGCAGUGGAAGUUGUGAGCAAAUUUAUGUCAAAUCUAAGUAAGUAGCAUUAUGAAGUAGUGAAAUGGAUGCUUAGGUACUUACAGGGUACUACAAAAAAAUGUCUAUGUUUCGAAAGGGGUGAGUUAAAAUUGCAAGGAUAUGUGGAUGUUGAUUUUGCCAAUGAGAUAGAUAAUUGGAAAAGUACUACAUGGUAUGUGCUCACUUUGGGUACUAUUGCUAUUAGUUUGAUUUCUCAAUUGUAGAAGAUUGUUAUUUUAUCUACAAUUGAAGUAAAAUAUGUGGCUAUCACAGAAGCUAGAAAAGAAAUGAUUUGGCUAUAGAGUUUGUUAGCAAAGUUAGGAUUCAAAUAAGAUAUGAAUGUUUUGCAUAGUAAUGGCCAAAGUGCAAUACAUUUGGCUAAGUAUUCAACAUUUCAUUCAAGAACUAAUUAUAUUACACUUCAUUAUCACUCCAUCAGGUUUUUGCUUGAAGAUAGGGUGUUAACAUUUGUGAAGAUACAAGGUAGCAAGAAUCCGGUUAACAUGUUAACUAAAAUAGUGAUAAUAGAAAAAUUGGAGUUGUGUGCAACUUCAAUUGGUCAAUAAUGAGAAUAGGUUGUUUGAGUGCACCCUCAUACCCAUUAAUCAUUGAAAGAGAAUGUUUACUUGUGUUUUAGUCUUCAAGUGGAAGAUUGUUGGAUUGUGAAGCUUGAAUCAGUUUUAUUAUGCCCCGAUCAACUUGUAGGGAUUGAAGGGCGCAAUGCUCUAUGGAGAAUUUAUUUAUUUAUUUUUAUGUAAUGAUUGACAGGUUUAAUCUUAUUAUAUAUUUUAACCCUUUUAUGUUUUAAGGUUUUGUUUUUUAAUGUGUAGUUGCAAUUGAGAGGUUUUUUGAGAGCUUUGCUAUUCCACUCCUUCUCAUCCCUUUUAUAGUGAAUUGUUGUAUGUUGGUGUACUCCAUUGAUGUAGGGAUCAAAUUGAUCGUAAAACCAUUUUUUUUUUUUUUUUGUUUCUAUUUAUACAUGAGUGUGUGCGUGAUUUGGUUAACAUCAGUUAUCUUAAUAAUUCUAUUCCUGGAAUAGGAAGAAAAUGAUGAUUCCAUUAAUGUAGCAUGCAUUGCUGCUUAUUUAUCAAGCAAAUUACAUUAUUAUUACACCAAACCUCCAAAUUCACCACGUACGUAUCGUAUAUACCGCAUGAUAAGAUUUAGAGAGGUAAAACAAGCGCUUAUUGUUUACGGAUAGAUAAUGUCCCACCGACCUUUUACUCUGAUACCUUGAAAUGAGAAAUUUGGAGGUUUUCCACACCAAGCUUCUUGAGAUUACCGCGCUUUCUCGUAGCGAAGAACUUUCCCCAGUUGUAUGCUCUAUACUUUGGUUUUUCCCCCUUCGUCAGCUCCUCCAAGGGCUGCACCCAAAGAUGGUGCGCGGGAUUGAAAAAGAACGGAAUCGAGAACCUUUCCCUCUCUGAAUUCAGUAUCACUCUGUGCUCCACACUCUCAUAAGUUUCGUUGCUCCAAACCUGGUUUAAUAUCAGUAUAAUUAGCCAAAUAGGUGCAAAAUUCGGUGAGCGAAAUAACUGAUAAGCAGGUGCUUAUAAUUCAAAGUUCUUGGGUGGUACCUGAAUUAUAUCCCCAACAUUGAUGAUUUAAGCAUCUGGGGUGGGCUUCACUCGAACCCAUUCUCCGUCGGUUUUUCGCUUUACUUCCAACCCUCCGACAUCAUCCUGGGCAAGGAUGGUUAAGGCUCCGGCAUCCUUGUGGUGACCAACGCCCAGAGCUAGGUGAGGGACAGGGCAAGGUGGGUAGUGAUUGAAGCGGACGAAGCUCGUUGAUUCUUCAAAGAAAAGAUUGAAUCUGUUUUCUGGCAAACCUAAGCUCAGAGAGAUGAGUCCCAUCAGCUUGAAAGCUAGUUUUUCCGUUUCUCUCGCAUAUUCUUCACAGACCUCCCUGUAUAAAUCAGUUCAAUUAGAACAAAACAAACUAAGUAAUUUACUGUAGUGACUGUGCCUUAGCUGGUGAAAUUUGUACCUUAAUUCAGGAGGGUACUGAGGCCACCGAUUGGUCAGCUCUAUGAGCUCCUUGUCCUCAGGAUCAUCCGAAGCAGGGCCGAAGGCGGGGGUUCUCACCACGAAAUCAAAGACUUCUUUCCAGUCCCUAACGUUCUUGGUAUGCUCAGUAUCAAAGUACCCAAAAGGAUUCACCUCAUCUCUACUCACCUUCCUCUUCUCCUCCACUGGCAGAGCGAAGAACGUCCUCGCGGCAUCCCAAAUUUUCCGGCGAGACUCCAAGGGCACCCCAUGGUUGAUGACUUGAAAAAAGCCCCAGUUCUUGCAUGCAUCAGCUAUUUGAGAAACAUGAUUGGAAGCAUUGGCGGAAGAGAGAUCAAUGAGGGGGAUGCCUUCAGCUUCGAUAACAGCGAGCUUAGGCCUAUGUUGGGCGUCUUGGAUGAAGGCUGGAUUGACCUCUCCCAUGGCUGUGGUAGUGAUUAGAACUUAGAAAUGGCAAUUAUGCUCUGGUAGCUGCAGGUGAAGAUGGUUACAGGACUUGGGCAACUCGGCAGGUGGUUUUUAUAGCAUAAUAGGGGUGUUGGUUUAAUACCUUGAACCUGGACAUAAUAUGGGUUACGUGUUAAGUUUUAGUUCGGGGUGUGAGCUCAUGGGUUGCGCAUAUGUUAAUGAGAUUUGGUCAAGUGAUACCUAGCUAUUUCCACGGCACCCUCAAUAUUCAAAUAUUUCAUCCGUACUCGAUUUGGAAGGUUGAUUAGUAAAUCUGAUGGUGUAAUGUCUAUUUUUGAAUUCAAUGCUAUAUAUUUAACGGUGAAGAUAAGAAAAAUAGAAGAGUUGAUAACGUUGAAGAAAAAAUGCCAAAGUUUUAAGAAGGUAGAGUUUUGAUGAGAAAUAGGUAAAAUUAAAAUUGCAUUAUAAUAAUAUAAAUUAAUUAAAUCGGUAAUCACCCAUUUAAUCUCAUUCUUAUCCACAAUUGUUGAUAGUUGAUCCUACAAAAUUCUAAAAAAAUCUUCCACAAAGACAAAUCACAAGAUGUUCAAUAACAUAUAUGCUUUUGCACCAAAAAUUGUAUAAGGGAAAAAAAAAUGAUGCACAAAAAAAAAAAAAAAAAAAUUCUAUAUCUAAUAUUAUUUCAUAGGAAAACUAACUAUAAUAAAUUUUAAAAGCAAAGAGCGUUUUACCAUAUCUAAAUAAUAGAUUAUUAAAUUCUUUAUUUUUCAAUUGGAUAUUUUUUUUUAAAUUAGAAACAUCUAUAUAAAAAUAAAAAUCACUUUAAAAAAAUUUUAAAUUUAAGAUAAUAAAUUUUUUAUAAUAUUUUAAUUCUUUUAAAUAAUUUUUAAAAUUAUUAUUUUUUCAAUAUAAAAUUUUAAGAGUUUUUGUAUUUUAUAUAUAAGUUACUAAUAUUCUCUUAUUUUAAACAUAGAAAAUAAAAAAUGUAACCAAAUGAAUUAGAAAAUAAAAAAGUUGAAUAAAAAUAGUCUAACCAUCUUAAACCUAAUAAUGUUUGACAGAAAACACUUAAAUAUACCUUGUAAUUUUCCUCACUGGUCAGCUCCUCCGAAGGCUUCACAUUCACAUGGUGCGCCAGUAAGAAGAAGAAUGGAAUCGAAACCCUUUCCUUCUUGUGUCGACCCACACUGAGAGCGAGCUCCAGCCACGAGCACGAUGGAUGGUGAUUGAGUCGGAUGAAGCAUUAGCCUUCAAAGAAUUCAUUCAACCGAUCCCCCACCAAGCCUAAGCUUAAGGAGAUGAGUUCCAAGAACUUGUAAGCUAAUUUUUCUAUUUCUCUAAUAUAGUUUUUCCAAAUUUUCCUGAAAAUAAAUCAUUAUAUAAAAUAUAUCAAUACUCAAAAUAAAUUUAAUAAAAUCUUGUCUUGCCUUUAUGUCUCUAGUUGAGUCUGUUUGGCUUCAAGCUGUGCAUUUAUGUCUCCGGUUGAGUUUGUUAGGCUUUGAGUCGCACCUUUACACCUCUAGUUGAAUAUGUUCGACUUUGAGCCAUGCCUUUACGUUUUGAGUUGAGUCUAUUCGGCUUUGAGCCACGCCUUUACAUUUUAGUUGAAUCUGUUCGAUUUCAAGCCGUGCAUUUACAUCUAUAAUUGAGUCUAUUCAGCUUCAAAUUGCAUCUUCACAUUUUUUGUUGAAUCUGUUCAGCUUCAAGCCACUCCUUUAUGUCUCUAAUUAAAUUUGUUUGGCUUUAAGUUUCACCUUUAUGCCUUUAAUUGAGUUUGUUCGGCUUUUAGUUGCGCUUUUACGUUUUGAGUUGAGACUAUUUGGCAUCGAGUUGCAACUUUAUGUUUCAAGUUGAAUUUGUUUAGCUUCAAAUCGUGCCUUUACAUCUCUAGUUGAGUUUGUUCGACUUCAAGUCAUGCCUUUAAGUCUCUAGUUGAGUUUUUUUAGCUUUGAGCUGCGCCUCUACAUCUCUAGUUGAAUUUGUUUGGCUUCGUAUCACAUCUUAUGUUUCGAAUUGAGUUUAUUCGACUUCGAGUUGUGCCUUUAUGUUUCUAGUUGAGUCUAUUCAGCUUCAAGCUGCACCUUUACUUUUUGAAUUGAGUUUGUUCGGCUAUGAGCAAUGCUUUUACAUUUCAAGUUAAGUCUGUUUGGCUUUGAGUUAAGCCUUUACGUCUCUAGUUAAGUCUAUUCAACUUCGAGCCGCAUCUUUCAUUUUUGAGUUGAGUGUGUUUGGCUUUGAACCACACCUCUAUGUUUCAAAUUAAGUCUAUUCAUCUUCAAGUCGCACUUUUAUGUCUUUAGUUAAGUUUGUUCAGCUUCGAGCAAUGCCUUUAGGUUUGAAGUUGAGCCUAUUUGACUUCAAGCCACACCUUUACAUCUCUAGUAGAGUUUGUUUGGCUUCAAGCUAUGCCUUUUUGUUUCGAGUUUAGUCUGUUCAGUUUUGAGCCAUGCCCUUACGUUUCAAGUUAAGCCUAUCCGGCUUCAAGUCGCGUCUUUACAUUUUGAGUUAAGACUAUUCGACUUCAAGCUAUGUCUUUACAUCUUUAGUUGAGUUUGUUCAACUUCAAGCUACGCCUUUACGUUUUGAGUUAAGUCUAUUCGGUUUCAAGUUGUGUCUUUAUGUUUUGAGUUGAGUCUGUUUGGCUUUAAGUCACACUUUUACGUUUUGAGUUGAGUCUCUUCAACUUUGAACUACACCUUUAUAUAUCCAGUUGAGUCUGUUCGAAUUUGAGUCACACCUUUGAGUUUUGAGUUUAGUCUGUUCGGCUUUGAGCCACACUUUUACAUCUCUUGUUGAGUCAUAUUUAGCUUCAUUCUACGCCUUUACAUUUCCAAUUGAGUUUAUUUAGCUUUGAGUUGUGCCUAUGUUUUAAAGUUUGUUCAAUUUCGAGCCACAUCUUUAGCCUUAUUAAGUUUGUUCAAGUUUAGUUGUGCCCUCACCCAUAUCCUUAGUUUUAAGUUUAUUCAGCUUCAAGCCAUGCGUUUGUCCUUGUUAAGUAAGUUCGGCUUCGAGCCACGUCUUAGUUUUGAAGUUGUUUAUCCUUGAGCCACACCUUCCUUUCUUUUUUAGUUCACUUAGGGUUUUCUCCUUCCUCGAGUUUAUUAGUGCAUUCGAGUUCAUUUUUCUUUAAGUUGAUCACUCUUUAUCUUUGUUGUCCUUGAAUUGUUCAUUGUGUCACAAUUCAGUGUUUUUCAUUGCAUAUAUACUCCCCACAUUGUCUAUAUUUUAUCCUGAUGAGUUUCUUUCCCAAUACGUGACCUCGAUCUUUGAGUUUAGCAUGCCAUGUGCUAAGACAAUUUCGAGUGCUCUUUUGUUCUUCAAUGCAAUUCACUUCAUACCAUUCAUCACUCAUGUUUCACUGUUUGUGUUCAUUUCAUUCGUGAUCUACAUCGGAGAGAGACAUAUUUGUUGGCCCUUUACUUUGUCCUAUAAUACAUAUUUUCACAUUUUUUUAUUUUCCUCUUGCCCCAUACUCAUUUUUGGUGCUCGUUUUGGAUCCUUCUUGUUUGAUCAUUCAUGGUCCCUUAUUGGUCCACGUUUACUUGACUCAUUAUUCAUUUUUUAGUCGCAUUUUAGAGGCCAUGUAGGAGGAAUUUUGAGUACAUGCAAGCUUAUUUUUUAGAGACCCUUAGUAGUUGGCUCAUAUGAGGACACGCCUCCUCACACUACUACAAAAAUCAUUUAUGGUGUCACUAUUUAUAGUGACACUUUUAAAAUAAUGACACCAUAUAGCUUAAAAUCCACAAAGGUGACACAUCAUAUAAAAAUUUUCAAUUAGGAUCAAUGAUAUUAAUUUUAGGUUUAUAAUGUCAGUUGCCAAAAAAUGACACCAUAUAAAAUAUUUUUUUUCUAAAUAUUAUAACUCAAUUGGCCCACUUUGAGAAUAAUGAUAGUAUAUAAAAAAAUCAUUGUUUCCACAUACCCACAAUCCAAAAAAAUUUCAUUCCAUAACCCUAACCAAAAUUUUUUUCUACCUCUUCUCACACCCAUAGUUAACACACAACUGUUCUUCUCUGCUUUGUGGACUCUCAGGUAACCCAAAAUCUCUUAGAUCUAUCAUUUUCAUUUAUUUUUUUAUUAAUGUCAAAAUCUUUAUGAACACAAUUGAUUUAUGUUUAUUGAUUUAAUAUAUUUGUAAUAUGGAUUGUGUAAAUAGUGUUUUUUUAUUGAGUUGUAGGAAAGUAAAAACUAGGUUUAACAUUCCACCAUAUCUUCUGGUUCAUUGUUAAACCCAUAAACCCCAAAAUGAAUGAAAAUAAGAAAAAUGAAUUAUUUUUAAAUAUCUUUUAUACUCAAGAUAAUAUAUAAACAUUUUACAAUACAAAAUUUUUUUUUGAUCUUGUAGGAAAUUUCCUUUGAUAGGAUUUUCUGUUUGUUUUCAAGGAAUAUUGUAGUAUAUUGUGAUGAAGAUAUUGAUUGGUGUUAUUUGAAAAAUAAUUUUUUAGAAAAUUAUUCUCAAUAUUAUCAUCUCCCACAAAAUGAAAAAUGAAAUAGUUUUCAUAUCAUAUUGGAGUCGGUUUGGAAUGUUGGAAUUAACAAUGAGAAAUUAAUUUUAUUUUUUAUUUAUUAAUGUAAAUGAAUUGUUUUUUUUUUAAAUUUAAAUAGGAAUGAAAAUUUUUAUAAUUAUAAAAAUGAUCAAAUAUUAUAUUUUGAUUUUUUUUUCUAUUCUUUUACAUGGUAUUAUGGUUAAUAUCUCAUCUUGUUCUAUAUAUAUUUUUUAUAUUCUUAAAAUAUGUUUUUUGCUUUUUGUUUUUACUUUCUUUUCUUAUUGUUUUUAUAUGUGUUGACCAAAAUUUAGAGUAAUUUGAGAUUGGCGAUAAAAUUUUCCUUUCAAGGUUAGAAAAUUUCUAUAAAAUCAUUUUAUUACAUAAUUUUUUCAAUUCCUUCCAUAAAACUCUUCCUUUUUCCUUUUUUAAGAAGAUGUUUGAUAAUUUUCUUUUGAUUUCUAUGAAAUUUCCUUUUAUUGGACUGUUUGUUUAUUUUCUAAGAAUAUUAUAGUAUGUUAUGAUGAGGAUAUUGGUUGGUGAUAUUUGAAAAUUAAUUUUUGAGAAAAUUAUUCUCAAUAUUGUCAUCUGCCACAAAAGGAUUUUAAAAGUAUGUUUUAUUUUUGCCUUCUUUUCUUAUUGUUUUUAUAUGCAUUGACCAAACUUUGGAGUAAUUUGAGAUUGAUGAUGAAAUUUUCCUUUCAAGGCUAGGAAAUUUCUAUAAAAUCCUUUUAUUACAAUUUUUUUUUUUUUCCUAUUCCUUCCAUAAAACUCUUCCUUUUCUUCAUUUUUCUUUUUUGAUGUUUGAUAAUUUAUUGAUCUAAAGAAUAUUAAAAGUAAAAAAUUUAAAAUAUUGAAUAUUUUUUCCUUUGAUGUUGUUAUUUUAUUAUUAUUUUUAUUUGAACAUAUUUUUCAUAUCCAAAUUUUCUAUUAAUUAUUUUACUUUUAAAAAAAAUAUCAAUUGAAGUUAUGACUGAAAAAUCAAUAAUUUUUAUGAAAGGUUCUUUAAUUCUUUCUCAUACUAAUUUUUCUCUUAACAUUUCUUAAUAGUGAAUUAGGUUUUUUUGUUUUAUAUACACAAUUUUCAUGCUUGUUAUAAUAUCAUGUCCUAUCAUAUUAGUAGUUGAAAACAUUUUUAUAUUUUGUUACUAAAAUUUUAUUUUAUAUAAUUUACAUGAAUUUUAAUGGACAUUGUUAUUUCACAAAAUGAACAUUAAAAAAAAUAUUGAAAUUAAGAAAAUCCUUCCAAGAAAUAAAAAAAUAUAAAAAGAAUUGGAUGUUAAAAAUGAUUUUUAAAAGCAUUAUGAAUUAUAAAAAAUAAAUUUAAAAGAUUAGUAUUUUCUAAAAUUUUAGAUUUAUAUUUUGAUUUUGUAGUUUUGAUUUAUUUCAUAUUUUCUUGAAUUGUUUUUAUUUGAGUUCAAAUGUGACUACUUUGUUAUGAGAUUCAUUAAAAGGAUAAUUGUUGAUUCUACAGUUAUUGCAUUAAAGGUUUUACUCAUUUAAUGAAUUGUACAUAGUUUCAUACUUCUAAUUAUUGUGAUAUUAAUGUUAUUUUCAUUUGAUUUUAGUUUGAUGACAAAAAACAUAUUCUCAAGUAGACUUUGAUGAAAUAAGAGGAGAAUGGAUUGCUUUUGUGUUAUAACUAAUCAUGAAUCAUGUUGAUGUAUCGUGAUCAUGCAUGGUGAGUCCCUUAGUUGUUAUAUAAAUUUUCCAUUGGUAUUGUAUAACAUUACUUAUUCUUUAUGAACUAUUUUUAUAUCAAAAUAGGAAAAAGAAAAAAGGAAACAUUAGUACUUAGAUUUGUUUAUUUUUUUAUAACAUCACUAUGGACCCCGCAUUUUCGGCUCGAUGCGUUUCCCACUCGAUGGCGAGCUCGAUUUUUAAUUUUGAAAAAUGAUUUUUAUUCAUUAAAAAUGACUUGGAGUCGCCACUUAUUUUUGUUUUAUUUUUAAAGGGUAAACAAAAUAAGAAAAAAAAACCCUAAGUGUGACUCCUUAUUUUAGAAAAGGCGAUCUACGAAAAAACCGGAUUGGGCUCGGGGGUUAGGUUACUUAUCGGGAAGGUACGGUAAAGACCGUAGCACCCCUCUAAGUCCCUAAAAUCGGGUCUUUACUAAUAGAAUGAAGCUGACGUGGCAGUCAACAAGAAAAUCGAUGAAUAGUCAAAUCAAUCAUGCACAAUAUGAGAAGCAAAACAUGUAUAAAGAAUGAGCGAAAUAUGAAUAGAUGCGUACCUGGACGGCAAUCACGAACGCGCUAUCAUGAAACAUGGUUAGUGAACAAUGAACAGAUAUAAUUAAGCGCAUAUCAAGGAAUAGAGUAAAUCAAUCAUGCAUAGCAAAUAAAUAAAUCAAUUAGUUAAUCGAUUAUAAAUCACAUAUGUGGGGCCCCACCAAAGUCCAUUUAUUUUGCAUGAUUUAAUUCCAAUAACUCCAUUACUUGGAAUUACGGAAAUGAAUUCUUGCUUAUUUUAAAACGUUUUAAAACGAAGGAGAUGUGGAAAUUAUUUGCUAGAAGGAAAGAUGACAACAAAAUUUUAUUGGAAAUGAGAUUUUUGAGUGAUCCUAAAAAUUCUAAAGAUGAAAAUUUGAAAAAUAAAUAAAUAAAUAAGAAUAAAAUAAAAUUAUUUGAAAAUCUAGAAAUUGGAAACUAUUUGAAAACGGGAAAUUUGGAAAUUAAUUUAAAAUUGAAGAUAAAGAAAUAAAUAGAUAAAUAAAAAAAUAAAUAAAGGACACGUGACUCAAAAUGUGGUCAUGCAUAGUUGCUUGUAAAUUGGACAGCCAGUUGCUUCUCAUACUCUCAGCGUCAAGAUGUUCCUUGAUGUAGUUGCCCCAUGUGUCAUCCUUAGCCGUGAUAAUGCAUGUGUUUUCAUCCCAAUUAAAGUCACUUUGAUCAAGAAGUGCCUUGAUAGUGACAUAUUGCAUCCUCAAGACAUCAUACCGAUUCCUCAGUUGGUCCUUAUCCAUGGAUUCCCGCGAAAUAAAUCUGUUACCAGAACAUUGUAACCAUUGCAUGCAACGCGAUAUGCGGAGUCCCUUGUGGAUGAAUUUUCGAAGCCAAAGGCAUCAAACAAGAGCAGUAUCCCUGCCAACUGCGUGUUCAUCCAGCCGCUCAAUCACGCCACUAACAUGGGCACAGCGGAAAGCAUCAACACAACCUUAAUUCCUCUCUUGUAGCUGUUUAGCAGAUCCAAGUCUGUACAAGACUUGAUCUAUGGCAACGUCAUGAGGAUAUAGCCGCGGGGUAGCAUAUGAAUCCAAUCAAUGGGAAAUGGGCAUUAGGAAUGGUGGUCAGGCUUUGCAUGAUUUCAUACACGUGAAUGAGUGAUGCUGGGACCUUCAUGGAGGCUUUGAGUGGAUCUUUGGGCGGCGGUGUAGAAAGAGAAAGGUAGCAGGAAGAAAAGAAUGGGUGUGGGCUUGGUGGUAUGAAACGUGUGGUGUUAAAGAGGAAUGUGGCGUACAUGAGGAAAGACAUGGUGAGUGGAAUGAGCUAUGGGCAUGAGAGAAAUAGAGAAAAUGGGUAUGAAGGUUAAUGAGAGAGAACGGGCGUGUGAGGGUGGUAAAGGAAAAUGGAUGAUGGAUGCACAUAGGUGGAAAUGGGAAUGGAUUUGAUAAAGCAUGAAGGUAGGAAUGGGAUUCGGGUGAUAUUAGAUUACCAUGCAUGGAGAAUGUAUACGUGGAGGUCUAUUAUGCAAAGGAACUAAAAACGGGUCAAGUGAAGGGCUGUUUAGGGAAUAUGGCAUCAGUUUCAGGUUGAGGGGAUGGGGCCCUUGGGCCAUUUGGCUACCCACAAGUAUGAUCUACAAAAUAGGGUCCUUAUGUCAGGGUCAACUUUCGGAUUUUUGCAAAGCUGAUGCUACCAAUUUAAACUCUGAUCAAUCAGUGUCCGCGAUCUUGAGUCCUUCAAGCUGAUGCAACGCGUCUUUAGGAAGGUAGAGCCUCCAAUGAAUACUUUAGAUUUCGAUUUUUGAACAAUCAUGGCAGAACCCUUCAUCGAUUGGCAUUAUCAUUACCCUGGGAUUGCAGCAAGAUGCAUGGAAGGCUUCUUCACUAUUAUCACAAAUGAGCAUAUACAAUAUAUUUUCUGAAUGACCACACGAUUUACAUGGUUGGGAUGAGUUGCUAUUCCCACUAACUCCCAGAACUUCAAGAAGCUCCUGACUCCUCAGUAUAGAAAUGCGUGUAAUCAUUACCCUCUUGUUUGGCAUGACCUGUGCAUACCCAAGAAUGACACCUACUAACCAACCAAUUGAUCCUUAUUGCAUUUAGAACUCAUCUGCAUCCCCUAGUCAAUUUCAGUUUCUGACAGUUAAACCAAAAAUCCCCAGUCUCAGCAAUGACAGUAGUCUCACUUGACAACAUUUUCUGUAUAUGCUGGAACAGAACAUAAACCCUCAAAGGCUCCUCGGGAUCAGACGUAGGAGACUGUCCCUCAGGAACGUAAACUCUAUGGUAGAACUCAUAGGCAGUGAUAUUGCAUUCGAGCCUCUUGGAGAAUGACUUGAAGAAAUCUUUCAUCAAAAUGCACCCAAGCUCAAGCCCAUAAGCACACCAAACACCAUUAUUGGGUUCGUUACAUCACCAUGCUACGGAGUUUAUACAACAGGAAGCUCUAACUGAUGAUGGUUCUGGUAGUGAUUUGCCAAUGGGAACUUGGCCAUCAAGUGAACCCGAUAUCAGAAGCUGAAGUUAUUACCUUGUACUCUUCUAUUCCCCCAUUAUCAGCAAUUCCAAUGGAAACAGUAGGAGAGCCUCAAGACUGUGUAUCCAUUCAAUAACUCUGUUUCUCAGUCAGGAUGCAAAAAACUCCCCAAUGAUUCUACAGCUGCAACCACAGGAGCCCCACUACUACCAGUUCCUUCACCCAUUCUGACAGCAACCAAAACCAGACCAAUGACUUGAACUUUAGACUUCCCCAAUCCAUUAAAUCCAGAAACCACUUGGAGUUAGAAACAUUUUCUACCUCAUCCUAGAACUUUCAGGUAUUUUACAAAGUAAUGGUCGGUAUUUUUCAAAAGCAAAAAGAAAAAAAGGUAAGACUCAAGAAACAGAGCAAACUCAGAAUUCGUUAAUCAAGACUCCAUCUCAUGCUGCACUCAAUGGAUCUAAACAGGUGAGACAAGCAGGGAGCAGUGGCAUGAUUAAUCAAUCUCAAAAAUAAUCCAUAUAUCGGUUAUUGACAGGAAAAAACAAAGAAAGCAGAAAAGAACCCAAACAGAGCAAAUACAAAAACAAACUCAAAUUCAGCAAAUCAAUCCACAAUCAAGAAAAACUAACAAUGCUCAAGUAGCCUGAGAAAAAUGAUGAAGAACAGUGAUAAUGAAAAAUACCCUAAAAAAAAGAACACGAUACUUCAUACCUGUGAAACUCCUCUCCGAUGAAGCUCACCUACCAAACCAAUCUGCUCCCAUCCUUGGCACUAGAACCCCUCUCCGUAGCAGCCUAAGCUCAAGGAAAUCCCUCUCCAGACCGAUCUCUUCUUUCUUCUCAAGUUCUUUUCUCCUCCUCUCAAAAUAUCUCUCCCUGAAAAACGGCAGCCAAAACCUCCCUCUGCAGCUGGCCUGCCCCCGUAACAGAAUACCCCCCUCUAGCUUUCUCACUACCCUCAAAAGCACCCUCUCUCUCCUGCAGCUGCAAGCCUCCACUACCCCCAUGCAGCUGGCAGCCUCUACUCCUCUAACGGCCAGCAGAUUCUCCUUCUAGAAAAUUCUUUCCCUUUUCCAGGUGUCUUUCCCUGAUUGGCCCAUCAAUUCCACUAUAGUGAUUCUACAGUGACCAAUCCUAAGAAGGCACGUGGCCUUAUGAGAUUGCGACACUUGGCAAACACAGGCUGCCAAAAAGUGAGCCCCCAAAUGGGGGUCUACAAUCACAUUUUUAUUUUCAAUAAGAACUCUAAAACUCAUUAAACUAUAAAAUGCAGAUAUACACUCUUGAGAGGACAAUAUGAAGAAUAAAAAGAAAUAAGAAAGAAGCAACAAGAUUUGGAUUUUUAGAUGUGACUCUUAUGUCAUACAUUAUACGACAUAAAUGUUAUUUUAUUUGGAAUUGAGAAUUGUGGGUUUUUUUAUGCAACUCUUGUGUCAUUUGGUUAGCCGGUUUUAUGCAUAUGAAACGUAAGUAUACAUGAAUGUUGGGAUGCUUAACAUUUCUAAAUCAUGUUUUAAUGUGUAUUCACUUUUCUUUUUUAGUUUUGGUGGGUUUGAUAUACUAUGUUUUGUGAACAUUUGAUAUACAAAUAUUAGUGGAUGAUGUAAUGUAUUAUAGGUUAAUCCAUAAGCAUAAAGAAAAUAUAAGUUAAAUGUAAUAUGAUUAUUAUAUUUAUGGACAAAAUUUACACACGUUGAUCUUAUUUAUUAAUAAGCAUUACAAAAAUCUAUAGGCUAGUCAACAAAAAACAACCAUAUCUUCUAUAAUCAUUUACAAUGAAGUGACACCAUAAUUCAAAGGUGAUGCAUUUAACGUGACAUCAUAACUCAAAGGUGAUGCAUUUAAUAUGACACCUUAUAUAUCUCACAUAACUCUAUAUCAAAUUAAGCAUCACUAAAAAUAUAUGGUGUCGCUUCUAAAUGCGUCACAAUUUAUCUGUUUUGGUGUCGCUUCCAAAUACGUCACCAAUUGGUACCCUCUAUGGUAUUGGUGGAUAAGGUGACGCUAUGUUGUAGCGACACCCUAUGUUUAGGGUGACUCGUUAUAAAUGUCACCAUAUAUGUUUUUCCUUGUAGUGUCAUUGGGAAGGUUUUUUCCAUUUUUUAGAGGGGUUUUCUAAAGGCUUCUAGGGUGAGGACACUGUUCUCAUAUUGGCUUUUUUUCCCCCUUUUUAGAGGGGUCUUCUAAAGGCUUCUAAGGUCAACUAGGAGAGCAUGUUGAUUGAUGCUUUGAUAUGGAUACCAGAUGCCACAUUUCAUCUUGUUGAACACUGGUUAGCUAUGGACUUGUUACUGCUUUACUCUUCUGUUUCGAGUUAACUUUGGAAAUGAAUCUGAAUAUAGACUAGUAUUUGCAUCUUGAUGUUUAGAGAAUCAUAUUUUAGUUGUUGUUUAAAAUUCAUUUUGGCAUGUUCGAUUGCUUCAAGCUCAUUUAUACAAUAAUGAAAUGGAGAUUUAUAUAUUUGUUAUUGGGUUGGCUCUCUGUUUGGUUAUCUUUAAGUUCUGCAUCUUUUCUUUUCUCGUUGCCUUAUCUUCUCUGGGGGGUGUCGUUUGAGAAAUACAUAGUGGAAAAAAUGGGAAGCUGAAGGCUUAUCCUGGCAUCGACCUCGCGUUAGGGAACGACUUGAUCGAAGAACAUAUGAAUUUUUCAAAUACCCAGAACUCACAUCAAAAGAAGCAUCGGAGUCAAGGUCAAACACAUCAUCUGACAAGGAAUAUACCUUUGCCUUUGGUGACUUUAUUGACUUCUGCAUGAUGGACAUCCGAGGGUGGGGACUGGAAGAGAAAUGAUGAAUUUGCCCAAGAUAGUUUGUCUAGAAAGGAACUUGUAUUAAAUGAUGAUUACCCACUAUGUCAGAUGUUGAAAUUUGGGUAUGACAACUCCUGGUGGCAUCAGAAAGAUGAGUUGCACAAUCCUUCUCACAGUUGAAAGCUUGACCUCCGAAGUUGGGCUUUUUCAUGGCCAGACAAGAACAGUGAUCACAAUAGUAUGAGCCAAGCCUGUCACGACCCAAAUUCUAGGUGAACUUAACCAUGACUCCAAAUCAAAGGUUUAAACUUAAAGGUUACAUCUAUUCAAUCUAGUAGUCAAUCCUGAUAACUUGAUUUUUUUUUCUUGAUAAAACAAUAUCUAAUCCCAAAUCAAUUUAUUAAGCUAAUAACUUGAUUUUUUUUCUCAAUAAAACAACAUCUAGUCCCAAAUUAAUUUAUUAAGCUAAGAUUUACUAUAUCAUAUUAUUUGAUUUUAUUUUUCAAAAAUCAACCAUUACACUAUCACUUAUUUGCAAGUAUAAUAAAUCUGUCAAACAUCUUAUCACCCAAAAUGAUAACCCAAAUAUUUACAAAAAAAAGUUUUACAAAUUAAUAAAAUAUAGUCUAAGUUAUAAAAGUUCUUAUAAAUUAAAUUAGUAUGUGCUAAAAUAUAAGAUAACUGAAAAAAAAAAAAAAAAAAAAAAAACCAUUAUUAUUAUGGUUCCUUAAAAACUAUAUUUGCAUCUAAAAAUUUUAGAAAAUAAAGGGAUGGACAUUUCCACAUUACUUAGUAAGGUAUUUUACACCCACACAAAUUAGAAAUUCUAAGUCAAUAAAACACAAUCAUAUAUCAAAGUGUAAUUUUACAUCUAAUGUACUACAACUAUAUACAUUUAAACUAAUCAAAAUUAUCACUAACCAUAAUCAGACUCCAAAUAAUACAAAUAACAUUUAUUAUCUCCCAAAAACAUAAUGUGUAAUUUUGUUUCCAAAGAAAAAUAUAAAAUAAAAGUUUUAGGGUUAAACCACCCUACAUCAAAUUUGAAAAUCUAAUUGUUAAAACUAAAAUCAGACUCCGUAAAAAUGUUCUUUAUGUUAAAUAGAGUGUUUUGCUAAAAUCUCAUGCAAAACAGAAUUCAUUUGGCUUGUCGGAUGACAACCCAAAUAUUUGUUGCACCUUCCUUGUUUCUUCUCUUCCUUUGUGUUUCCGUUUGCACUCUUCUCUCUACGGAUCUGGUAAAUAGGGUAGCCCCUGGUACGCUUGGGGCUGGAUUGAAUCCUAUUCGAACUAUAUCUAACUUGAUCUUGUCCAAGCUAGGAAGGUUUUUGGUCUCGAUGACAUUGGAAGUUUCAUCAUUGCUAAAGAAAGGGGCGGCCAAAAAGGCUUAGCGACGACCCUCUCUCGACUUAAAGGAAACGACUUGUCCCAUCCAAUGCCCUACUUUUAAGUGCUCGGUAUGUUCACUUAAUCAAAUCUAGAAGAAGCUUGGCCUCUGUAGAGCAUGAAAAGGCUAGUUUUGAAGCUUUUAAUCGAGGACUUAUUUGCCCUAAAGCCUGACUUCUUAGGAAGAGAAAUGGGCUUGACUUCUUCAUCAACCUCGGAAUCGCAUUCUAUCACACUGGUGGUACUUCUUGUUGAAUUAAAAGAUUGGAUGAGUCUUUUUGUACCCACCCGCCACCCCUGUUUGAGAGUGAUUAAAUAUCAUAACUUCCUUAAUGGACCUACGGACUAGCUAAGGUUUACUUACAUAGUUGUUCUUUCUUUUCUCAAUUUCAAGUUAAAGUUAGCGUUUUUCAGCUUACUGUUUGCUUUGGUUGAGUAGCCGCCUUAUGACCCUUUGCUUUUGAAUGAAAUCAUCUAGAACCUCUCAGAUCGGAUUCCAAUCACCUUAGUGAGUCUCCUAGGUGCGAAGCCAUUCUUUAAGCCCAAAACAAAAGGAGAAGUGAAGUCACUAUCUAGACAAAGGGGCUUGCCUACUUAUAAGGUAGGAGUUCACACCGGGGAAUCGCUUUCUUAAUUAAUUAAAAGCGAGCCAAACUCACCACCUCAUGUACCAAAGUCAAACGGUUGUUCUUCCUUCCCCGCUCCCUUUUUCUCUACAUAUGUGAUGGCGGGCAGAGCGCUCUAUAUGACCGGUGGUGGGUUACCAGAGAAGAUGGGACAACUUCUUUCUCUCUUGCCUUGCUCAAUCUUCCUUUUCUGAUUGAAAGUAGCAAGCCACACCACUACUGGUACAGAGGUCGGAUAGAAGGUUGCUUUUUCUAUAUGUUCAGGCGAAGAACAUCUACGGCACAGUCUUCGCCAAGCAAGAUGAUGUAACUCCUCAAAACAUAAAAAGAGCUCUUAUAUAUGUAAAAACAUGAUAUAUGUGUAAAUGAAUUAUAGCCAUUUUCAAAUAGAUCAGGAUCGUCAGAUGUUUGAAAUGGAAAGUCAAUUUUUCUAUAUGCAUGUAGAUAUCUAUAGGGGAUUAUAUGAAGGGGAUGUUAUUAUUUUAGAUAUAAUCAAUUCCCUUCUCGGAGCCCACUAAGAUCCGGAUCUCCUACGGAAAUGAUUUAGAAGAUCCAAAACCAAAAAUAGUGGUAUUUGCUAGCAACAACAUAAUGGAGGCAGUCAAUCAAUAUAUAUUGAUCUAAAAUCUGAUUCAAAUCCAAUAUAGCACCUAUGGGUACAUAAAAGAAAGGCAAGAGAGAAAAGAAGUCCAUACUUUUCAACAAAGCUUUAAGUGAGUAGGGGUGUAGCAGAUUCAUGCACGUCGAAUAUAAAUGCAGUUGGAUGAGUAGUCGCGGAUUCACAAUGCCGGUUAAAAAGCCAAUCUUAGGGUUGCAUUCACUCCCCUUCUAUAUCUUGCAUCUAUAGUAUUUUUGUCCUGGUGGAUCUCUUUAUCAUUUAAUAAAAGUUUGGAAUCUUGGGUUACUAAUUGGUGGAAUACUAGGCAAUCUAAAACUUUUUUGAAUGAUAUUCAAGAAAACAAUCAAUUUCCCAUCAUUUGCACUAUGAAUGGAAAUGAAAUUCUAGAUCUAGAAUCAGAUGAAUGUGCAACAGUCAAUUUCCUCCCUCACAACCUAAUUGUCCACUAAAAACAACCUUUUUUACUAUACGCUAUUUGGCCGCUAGAAGAACUUCAGUUCUUAUAGGUAAAUGCUCAAUACCCAAGUAGGCCUACAAAGUUGAUCAUGAUCAAGUGCUUUUUGGGUCGUCUUAGACCUUGCAAUAUCUCUCCGGCCCUCUAGCACUCUGUUAUGGCUCAAUCACUUACUCUAGUUCUGGAGUUCUAGGUCCUCUAGCUAUUAGUGCAGGUAGCUCUCCUUCUGGUAAUGCAUUAUAGGUUGUCUUCCUUCCACCUUCCUGUUUUCAAGAAAGCUUAUUUUCUUUCUAAGAAAAAUCAUACAAUCUCGUAUGAGAACGGGAUUGAUGGGAGGCAUAUGCUCCCAGGCUACACAAUGUCUUACAGGGCUUACCCAGUUAGAAGGUAUGUAACUAAAGUCUCAAGAGAAUUGAAAUCGACGAGAAAUCAGAAUCAAUGUUAGAGAUUAGACUUGGCAUGGAAAAAGGAGUAUAGUAAGAUGAUAGAGACCUCGCACGAGAUGCUUACUCGGAUUCAUGCCCAUAAAGAGUAGAAGAUUCAACACAAGUGCAAGAAUAGGUUUCACAGUUAAGAAAGGUUGAGAUUCAGGUGAGUGAGUGAGUCCUCACUGACUUGAGCGAUUUCGAUCACCUAGCAGUUUAUUUGGUAGGUAACAUCGCUAAAGCAUAUCAUCUGAUCUACAAAUGAAGGAAAUCAAAGUGAGACGACACCGUCCUCUGUAACGCAACGAUAGUUGGCCCUUUAUCAUCAACUAUUUGGUAGACUUGGUAAAAGAUGUAAGGCUUUAGCUAGUACACGAAAGUGCAUACCAUGAUUCUUCUGUCUAUCAAUAACUGCAUGCAUUGCACGAUGGAUGUGAAGAAGUAGGCCAUUAUCUCGACAAUAAUGAGCCAAGCUAGUAUUUGCAGUGAAUCCCCCUGUUAAGUAGUCACAUUAAUGGAACAAGAACACAUUAGCGUAUGAAACAGAGCUGAAAGCGCGAGUGCACAAUCUCAAAAACGGCAAAUUCACGUUCUACUUCCUCAAUCUCGAACUCUGUCUAUUGGGAUGAGCUCCCCUUACCUGCGCUAUUCUAUGAACGAACUUCCUUUAUAAACCAUAAAACUGGAACAAUCACUGUUCCAGGGUCUGUCUCAGAGUUCUAUCUCGUGCUUGACAUCAAUUGCAUCCAAACCUUUAAUCGGGUAUACUUUCCACAAUAACAAGCGAGUCAUAGUUAGGUAAAAGUUAUACAGAAAGAUGACAUCGUUGGCGAACUUGAAGCUAGUUAGGUAAAUCCCCUUAUAUUCUUCUUUCUUCUCCCAUAAGACAUUCCUUAUUAUUAUUAUUAUUAUUAUUUUCAUUUUCUCAAUUUCUUUAUCUUUUCAACUUUAAGACACCAUUUUGCACUUCUUCUUUUUUAUUAUAAUUAUUAUUCUUUAUCAACCAUACCAUGUUAAGAAAUUUAUUUAUUUUAAUCCAAAAAUCUACUUAAAUACAAUUUCAUACUUUUCUUAAUAAAUUAUAUAUAUAUAUAUAUAUAUAUAUAUAUAUAUAUAUAUAUAUAUAUAUAUAUAUAUAUAUAUAUAUUAUUUCUUAUUAUAACAAAUUUAAAAUGUCACAUGUAUCAUUUUUUUAAUAAAUCAAAUUAUUAUUCUUUAUUUCAUAUUCUACAAUUAUAAAUUAUACUCAAUAUAUGAUUUAUUGUCUUACGAAAAAUAUACUGCUAUAUUCUUAAUUAAAUUUAUUACAAGUCUACUUUUCAAAAAAAAAUUAAUUUGACUUUAAUUACUUGAAACAUUUUUAUUAUGAAAUUCAUUUAGAACAUGAUUUCAUUAAUUAUAUAUUUAAAAAAAAUCAAUUUUAGAAAAAAAUCUGAAACAUAAAAUAAUUCUUCAACAUCAAGAAGCUGAAAUUCAUAAUAAUAUUUAAUCCUUUAAUUUUACCAAUAUUUAUUUACCAAUAAAAUUUAAGCAAUAUUCUGAAAUUUAAUUCCAUUAGUUAUUUAGUCAUUCAAUUUAUAAAAUCAUAUUCUCAACCUUUGGUAUAACUUUUAUUUAAUUUACUUCAUUUGUCAAAUUUCUCAAUUGAAUCAAAAUUUCAAAAGUUAAAUUCACUAAAUUCAUAUUUAAUUAAUUUAGCCUUUUAUAUUCCCUAAAUUAAUAUAUCAUAAUUUACUCUUAAUGUAAUUUCAAUUCAAUUUUAUUUGAUGUUUUGUAAUUCUAUAAGGUUUAAUUCUAAUUAUAAAAAUUAUUGAUUUCUUAUAAAAUUAAAUUCAAUUUCUUUUUAAUUAUCCAUUAUAACAAUUUGAUAUAAUCUAAAUUUUUAUCAAGUUUUUCUUACUACAAUUCUCUAUAAUUAAAUUAAUGGUCAUAAUAUACUUAAUAUUCAAUUUUAGAGACUAUAAUAUCAAUAAUUAUUUGAUGGUUGAAUUUUUUUCCAAAUUUAAAUUUAAUUUUUGAAAUUCCUACUCUUUGCAUAUGACGUGAUGGAAUUUUUAUACUAUUGACUUUUUAUUAACUUUUUCAAAAAAUUUCUUAAUUAAAUAUUAACACGGGGAUUUUCGUCAUUCUUUUUUAACAUUUGACUAAUGAUUUUAUGAUAACUUUAAUCUGACAUGUCAUUAAAAAUCCGGUUGUUAUAGAGCCAGUCAAAUUAAGCCUGUUAUCCGAGGAGUGAAGCCACUGCCUUGUUCUAUCUCCGAUGGCCUGCUCAGCUCCUUCAACCCCCAUCGCUCUCCUCUUUCCAAGUUCUCCAUUUUCAGUUUAGAGCCAACAAGGAUCGCAGAAAUCCUUAAAGAUUGACCUACAUGGUAUCGUGAGUACCGCGAUGUGGAUGUUCUUAAUGUGUUGUCUACUAGAGCCAAAUGGGUGUUUGAUAAGACCCAGUGAAGGUGUAAAAAUUAUAUGACGAAGCUUGCAGAAAGACUUUGAGUUGAGGGAAGGCAUCUCAACGAAGUUGGGCUUUUGUAUUGUGAAUCUGGCAAAUUACCUAUACUGCAUGGAUCAUCACUCUUUUAACGUGGAGGUACACAGGUCCUUUGCAAUGUGACACUUGGGGCACCACAUCAAGCUGGUGAUGCUCAACGACUGGCUUCUCUGGACGGGUCCUCCAACAAAGCGCUUCAUGCUUCACUGAAAUUUCCCGGAGUUCUCAAUUAAUGAAGUUGGCCAACUCCUUAACCUGCACUGUUCCGCAGCAGUCACAUAAAGAUUUGACAUUGAAAUUGAUCAGGUUUUUCCUCUGCCAAUGGUGGUGGGCGCGCUUUGUAUGUAGAUUCCGAAGGAACUUCCAACUUGAUGGCUGUGAGUGGUAAGGUUGGAGAAGAUACUACUGGGUCUGCCCCAUUAGUUUUCCAUUGUUAAGGUAGUUUGGUGCACAGCUUCCUGGAUCAUCUACACCACGAGCACCUCCAGCCGCCUGUUUUGAUCAGUUUCUGGAUUUCCAUCUCCAAAUUGUGCAAGCAGUGACUGAUAUGGUGUCCAUACAAGCGGCUACUGAAAUGGUUCAAACCCCAAAUGCUGAAGGGAAAGGAGCUUUUGGAAAAUAUCAUGAAGAAGACUCACCCAUCUUACAUGAAAUUAUACACAACUCCAUGGACCAGAACCGGAACCCAGACUUAAAUUUGUCCAAGAGAAGAUCAGUGUAAUACAAGUCAACUGCAGUCAUUCCUGAAAGAAGUGAUGAGAAGAGUAAACCUGGAAAAGCAGUGAGUGAAACAAGUUUUGUGACAUUGAACAAUUUGCAGAUGGGUGUUCCCACAAGCUCCUCUCCCCUCUUCCUACGUGCAUGAAAUUCCUACGUGCAUGGCCACCUUCUUAGGUGUGCAAUUCUGCGCAUAAUUCUCAAGCGUACUAUCACCCUCUUCUUUUUUGAAAAAUUGAUUUUAAAUUUAAAAUUUUGACAAAUUCAUUUCCCUUUUAAAAUCCCUCAGUAAUUCUCUUCAAAUUAAUAAAAUCUAUUUUCAAAAAAAAUUUGCUGCCAUUUUCCUUUUGGCAUAGACCUUUUUCUAUUUUCUUUGAUUUUUAAUCAUUUUCCAAUUUUUUAAUAAAUAUGAAUAAAUUCUAUGUUUUUAAAAAUAAUGGAAUUUUGUCCAAAUUUCUAUUAUCUUUUUCUCCAUGAUCAUUAGAAAGAUGAAAUUCCUAAAAUUAAUUCAUGCAAAUAAAUUGGACAUUGGUAGGCCCAACAUAUGAAUUUUUCUCCUUUGAUUAUUGUUUUUAAUUGCUACACUUGAUUGACUAAUGAUUGAUCUCUGUCUUGCUCUAGCAUACAUGAGAUUAUUUUGUGCUUGUUAUUGUACACUAACCAUGUUUCUCACGAAGCGCUCAACUUAUUCUCAAGUACGUUCUUUCCUUUUCCUAUUCGUUUAGUUAUAACCAAUGUUUUCAAAAUCGGACCGAUCAUUGAAUUGGAAAAGUUACUGGUUCACGGUUCACUGGUCGAAUCGGCGGUCAAAUCACGGUCAAACUAGUGAUGUCAUAAAUAUAUAAUUUAUAAAUUAUUAAAAUUUAAAAUAAUUAUAAAAAUAAAAAUAAUAAUUUAUAUAUUAUUUAAAAAUUAAAAUUUUAUUUAAAAAUUAGAAAAUUAGUUUCAAAUUAGAAAUUAAAAUUAAAAUCAUAAUUUUAAUUUUAAUUUUCAAAUUUUCAAAUUCAUUUUUAAAUAAAAAAAAACUUAUUUUAAAAUCAUGAAUUUAUUUAAAAUUAUAAUAUUUUCAUUAAUUUAAAUUAAAAUCAUAAGUUUUAAACAUCAUGAAAUAAAAAAUAAUAAAUAUAAAAGAAAAUAAAUUAUACUGAAAUGAGGUAAAAAAUAAUUUAAAAAAAUGGAAAAAGAGAGGAGAGGAACAAGCAAAAAAGGGUUCCAACAGGGUUUUGGGGGGUGGGGUUUCCAUUUCUAGCGCCAGGUGGGGGCCCUUCCGGUGGGCCAAAAGGGGAAAAGCUUUUUGGCUUUUCCAGUGCAAGGGGUGCCGAUGGGGUGGGGGGUUCCAAUGGGCAAGAAGAGCUCUUCCAGCGCACGCGGGUAGGAGUGGCGACAAUGGGGAAAAAAAAAAAGUUGAACCGGAUGGUUCCAUCCGAACCGUCCGGUUAGUCGGCCGAACCACCGAUUUAACUAGUCCGACCACUUUCCAGCCCAAUUGACCAAACCAGAUUGAAACCGUGACCAGCCGAUCCAAUCCAAUUUUUAAAGCCAUAAUUAUAGCUCAACCAUAACACAUCAUUGAUCAUUACUUGGUAUUUGUUGACUUUUUGAUCAAUUGUCAUUCUUAUAUUAACUUGAUUAUUAGAGACCUAAUUUUAGGGUAUAAAGGGGUAUUACGAUUUAUCAUCCUACCUUCUCAACAAGUAACCUGACCCUUGAACCCAGACUUGGUUUUUCAUAAACCCGUAUUUUCCUUUCAAGUUUCAUACUUAGAAUUUUUUUUUUUCCAUUUAAAAAUAAAAUAAAGAUACGUGGCCUAAAACCAUUUUCAUCAAUCCAAAGUGAGUCUUGUCUUUUUUUUUUUCAAGUAAGGACACGAUCACAGGUCUACAAUACUAUUUUAAUAUAUAUAAUGAAAUAUAGAUAUUAACGCCAUCUUAAAGAUAUAAUUAAAUUUUUUGUUUAAAAUAAAUUAUAAUAAUUUAAAAAUAAUAUUUUAUUUAAAAUAAAUUUUAGAAUAAGCAAAGUUGAUAUGUGGACAUAGAGAAUCGUGAACCAUUGUAAAUGUAUUGAUUAUAUCUCUUUCUUCCCAUUUCAUUUUUACUUUAGUUUUUAUUAUUCGUAUCUUUUUCUACUAAAAUUUGAAAAAGAAAUUCACAUUCACUUCUUCUUGGGUGUAUAUCAUAGGAUUCAAAAUGUUUUUAAAAAUUAUUAAAUUUGUUAAUUGUGACUAUAUGCUUAUUUAGGAUCCAUUGAUCUUAAUAACUUUCUUCCCGAUAUAGGAAGAAAAUGACUAUUCCAUUAAUGCAGCAUGCAUUGCUGCUUAUUUAUCAAGCAAAUUACAUUAUUAUUUUCACACCAAACCUCCAAAUUCUCCAUGCAUAUACGCAUCCUAUACUGCAUGGCCAACUUCAGAGAGCUAAAACAAGCUCUUAUUGAAUACAUGAUAGAUAAUGUCCCACUGACCCUUUUACUCUGAUACCCUGAAAUGAGAAAUUUGGAGGUUUUCCACAUCAAGCUUCUUGAAAUUACUGCGCCUUCUCGUAACAAAGAACUUUCCCCAGUUGUAUGCUCUAUACUUUGGCUUUUCCCCCUUCGUCAGCUCCUCCAAGGGCUUCACCCAAACAUGGUGCCCGGGACUCAAAACGAACGGAAUCGAGAACCUUUCCCUCUCUGAAUUCACCAUCACCCUGUGCUCCACACUUUCAUAAGUAUCGUUGCUCCAGACCUGGUUUAAUAUCAGUAGAAUUAACCAAAUGAGUGAAAAAUUCCUUGAGCCAAACACUACUGAUAAGCAUGUACUUGUAAUUCAAAGUUCUUGGGUGGUACCUGAACUAUAUCCCCAACAUUGAUGAUAUAAGCAUCUGGGGUGGGCUUAACUCGAACCCAUUCUCCAUCAGUUUUUCGCUUUACUUCCAACCCUCCAACAUCAUCCUGAGCAAGGAAAGUUAAGGCUCCGGAAUCCUUGUGGCGACCAAUGCCCAGAGCUAGGUGAGGAAUGGAGCAAGGUGGGUAGUGAUUGAGGCGGAUGAAGUUUGUUGAUUCUUCAAAGAGAAGAUUGAAUCUGUUCUCUGGCAAACCUAAGCUCAGAGAGAGGAGUCCCAACAGAUUGACAGCUAGUUUUUCCAUUUCUCUAGCAUAUUCUUCACAUACCUCCCUGUAUAAAUCAGCUCAAUUAGAACAAAAAAACUUAAGUAAUUCACUGUAGUGACUGUGCCUUAGCUGGUGGAAUUUGUACCUUAAUUCAGGAGGGUACUGAGGCCACUGAUUGAUCAGCUUUUCGAGCUCCUUGUCGUCAGGAUUAGGCGAAGCAGGGAUGAAGGCGGGGGAUGACGCCACGAUAUCAAAGACUUCCUUCCAGUCCCUAACGUUCUUGGUAUGCUCAGUAUCGAAAUACCCAAAAGGAUUCACCUCAUCUCUACUCACCUUCCUCUUCUCCUCCAAUGGCAGAGCGAAGAACUUCCUCGCCGCAUCCUCAAUUUUACGACGAGACUCGGAGGGCACCCCAUGGUUGAUGACUUGAAAGAAGCCCCAGUUCUUGCACGCAUCAGCUAUUUGAGAAACAUGGUUGGAAGCAUUGGCGGAAGAGAGAUCAAUGAGGGGGAUGCCUUCAGCUUCGAUAACAGCGAGCUUAGGCCUAUGUUGGGUGUCUUGGAUGAAAGCUGGAUCGACCUCUCCCAUGGCUGUGGUAGUGGUUAGAACUUAGAACUUAGAAAUGGCGGUUAUGCACUGCUGGUGUUAGCUGCACGUGAAGAUGGUGAGGGGGACUUGGCCACUUAGCAGGUGGUUUUUGUAGUGUAGUGGGGUUGGUUUAGUACAUUGAACCUGGACAUAAUUGGGGUUACGUUUUAAGUUUUGGUUGGGGGUGUGGGCUCAUGGGUUGCGCAAAUGUCAAUGAUAAUUGGUCAAGUGAUACCAAGUUAUUUCCAAAAUCUGCAGCCGCAAAGGGUAUCUCUCUCGAUGAUUUUGGCAACGUACAGCACUCUCCACAUUCAAAUGUUUGAUCAAAGAUACGUUUUGUUUAGUGUCGUGUAUAUUUUCGAAUUAAUUACUUCAUAUUUAGGGAUACGUUUUGUUGAGUAUCGUGUAUAUUUUCGAAUUAAAAACUUCAUAUUUAGGGAAAAGUGUGCUUCAAUACGCUAAUAUAAAAAUAUCAGCAAAAUAAGAUCCUAAUUUUUCAUAUUUUAAGGUUUAUAAUGCAAUUGGAAAUUAUUUGGAGAAUUAUGCAUUUUCAGCUCAUGUGUAUUUCAAAUCCAAAAUGCUCUCCACCUUGCCAGCCAAGUCUUACACGUUGAAAGUAAAGAGAGAAAAAAUCUUCAAAAAGCCACCAAAACCAAUUUCUCUUUCUUUUUGAGUUAUUUGAUUCAAAAGAUCAAUAAAAUCCAAUUUUUAAAAUUUAACCCUUUGUUCUUUUUUUUUUCAUUUUGAUAAAAAUAUCUUUACCAUUUUCUUGUAGAAAUAACAUUUUUUUUAAACCUAUAUGUAAAUACUUGAAAUGGUAAGAGACGUGUACAUUAAAAAAAAGUUAUUUUUCAAGUAAAAAUAUAGAAAGGAUUAUUUCAUCCCUUUUAACCAAAUAUUUAACAUGAUCAAGGACUAUUCCCUAAAUGAAGGCAUACGGUAGCAAAUACCCUUAAUCUAAACAUUAAAAGUACAACUUAUCUAGUAUCAAACACUCUGUUUUAAAACCCAUAGCCACUCCAAAUAUCCCAAAUAUUCUUUUCUAUGCAACCUCUCUCUCUCUCUUUCUCGCACAAACACACUAAAAUAUUUUCUCAAACUUGGAUUUUUCUCCACAACUCAACCCUAACUUCCUUUCUAUUUGUACCAAGGCUAGAGAAUAUAGUUUAUACUUGUAUUCCUUCAUGUACCAAGCCCACAAGAUGAUCAAUAAGUUUCUCUCUAGAUUUUACAUUGGAGUUGAUUGAUGAUAGUACCCUUAUUAGGUAGUAUAUUAUCUUCCUUAGGUACUGCUUUUUCCAUCCUUAGAUACUACCUUUGUAACCUUGGGUGCAUGAUUGAAUCCAUUGUUUCAUGGCUACUUCAAGUAAGUCAGGAACUUAUGUACAUGUGUGCUACAUGUCUUAUAGAUACUAAAUUUACAUUCUUUAGGUACUACCUUUACCUUCCAUGGGUACAAAUACGGUUAAUGAUAAGAAUUUUAAUAUAAAAAAGGGAAAAACCCUGCUUGAUAAUAAAAUUGCAUAUAUUUUCUUUCUUUCUUUCCUUUUUGAUUGAUUUUUUUUUUUUUUGGUCUUUGCUUUGGUUUUUAUUUAUGUCUUUGUUUCUUUUAGUCUUUGUGUGUGUGUGUUUUAUUUUAUCUUAUUUUCAUCUCUAUGCAGAAGAUGUAGAAGAAACAACAUCACAUCAUAAGGUGCAUUUUUCCGUUCAUUUAAGACUAAAGGUUUUGGAUUCACAAAAUGGUGGGAACUAAGGGUGAGAAGCUGGAAAAAUGUUGGAUUGAGCUACAUUUGAUCAAUGGUGAAUUUGCAAAAAAGAUUGUAGGAGAGUGUAGACCCUCAAUUUUGUCCCUUUAGCACAUGUUUUAAAGUCCAUUACCAAUACUUUACAGUAAUCUCUUGGUAGCCCAUAGCUACUCACGCUACUUACCUUUCUUGAGCCACCUCGGAGACUCUAGUUGAGGGAUUGCCUAACCCCUUAUUGUGACCCUUGGCAGUUUUGAUUUAGACUUAAGGUUUUCAUUCCUUCUUAGGAUAGCUCUUAGGUGCACUUUUAGGUCCACUUAGGCAUCACCCUUGGCUAAUUUAGACAUUUUGGGCCCGUUUAGACACCUUAAACUCGCCUAGAUUCACCUUAGACCCGCUUAAGCACUUCAUUGGGGCUCAACAUUUUUAUAUAAUCUCUUGAUCAUUAUUGCAUGCAUUUGAUGAUUAUAUUUUCUUUGUUUAUUCAUUUAUUUGUUUGUUUAUUUAUUCAUCCAUUUAUUUAUUCAUUUUUUAAUUUCUAUUACGUCUUGUUUUUUUUUUUCUUUCUUUCUUUCAUUUAUUUACCUACUUAAUAGAGAAUUGUUUAGAUAUUAAAUAUGCAUACAACCCCCUUAUUGAAUGAUGGAAUUGUACAAUCUGAUAUCUCAUUUUCUCUUUCAUUUUCUUUUAAUCGUAUUUCACUUUAUUACCAAUUUCAUGACUUUCAUUAGUUGCUUCUCUUUUCCUUUGAUUUUUUAAUCUUAUCUUAUUUUGUUUUGCAUAAGGAGCACCAUCUUGGGGAGUACAAGAGGAUCUACAUUACUGGUUUGAUCAACAUAUGUUUGAGACUAAAAGCCUUCAAGAUGGCAAAAGAUGGUCAUCACAGCCCCAUGCUUCUUCUUCCCAUCUCUCAUAAUUGAAGCCUCUGUACAAAACUUCAUCAUAUCCUGAACAAUAGCAGCCACAGCAGUUGCAGCCACAGCAGCUGCAGCCACAGCAACUGCAGCCACAACAGCUGCAGCCACAGCAGCUGCAGCGACAGCGGCAACCACAGUUAAUGCUGCAACAGCAGCCACAGCAGCAUAGACUGCAUCAUCCAGUUCAACCUUCAUUUGGUCAUUUAUCAGGGUUGCAGCCCCAACUAUUUAAUCCCCAUCUUUCCCCAGCUCCACUCAUCAUGAACAAAUAUGAAGCAAUGCUUGGGAUAGGUAAUCUGAGGGAUCAAAGACCCAAGUCAAUGCAAAAAGGUAGACCAAAUCAUCGGGUUUCUCAACAGGGCUUGGAUACUAGCAGUCGGAAGAGUGAUGUUGGUGGCCACAGUUCAGAUCCAAGUAUAUGACAGCUGAUGAAAUCGAAAGUAUCCUUAGAAUGCAACGUUGCGGAACAGAUGGAUGAGUAGAAAGGAAAAUAGCAUGAAAAUAGAAAGGAAGUGACCACUUUGUGCACAACACGCAUAUAGUGGGCUGUAAGGGGGAUUCUUUUUUGUUUAGAAAGAAAAGUCAACUUGUAUCACUUACUAAACGAGAUGUGGCUGCAUCCUUGAGGGAAUCUCCCAAUGAGCCACCAUGUAUGCACUUUCCUUAUCCAUGUGCAUUGAAAAAGGAUAUAGAAUAUUCAAUAGAGGAAAGGUGCUGCCAUAUAGAAGGAAGGUGCUGCCAUAUAAACAUGUCACAGAGAGAACACACGGUGGACUUUUCUUUUGGGAGCAGAAAUUCACAUACAAAAAGUAAUCUUUUUUAGAGGAGAUGAACACACGCAAGAGUUUUUUUUUGGGAGCGGUAGAGGACCUGAACGACUAAUUGGGCUGCCAUUUUGACACAUCAAGAAAGUAUUUUUCCAAUACAAUACAGGUUAGUUUUCGAUUUUUGAUACCGUAUUUCCUUUUUUUUUUAGUUUGGGUUUUAGUUGUUUGGUUUAAUUAAUUGUUUGUGAUAAAUUCUUUUAAAUCUCGAUUUCGAACAAUCUUUUAUUUUUCUUAUAUUAAAUGUCUAUCUUUUAUGAUUGCAAUUCAUUAGUUCUAUGCUAGUUUAUUUUUAAUUUACAUGAAAGUUUAAAUAAAGUUUAUAUUUUUAAUUCCAAUUAGUUUAUUUUUAAAUUUGAAUGAGUUAUCGAUCUUAAUUAUUUAGUUUAAUUGACCUUGUGAGAUAAAAUUUAUAUUUUUAAUUCUAAUUAGUUUAAUUUUAGUUUAUUUUUAAUUUGAAUGAGUUAUCGAUCUUAAUUCUUUAGUUUAAUCGACCUUGUGAGAUAAAAUUUAUAUUUUUAAUUCCAAUUAGUUUAAUUUUAGUUUAUUUUUAAUUUGAAUGAGUUAUCGAUUUUAAUUCUUUGGUUUAAUUGUCCUUGUGAGAUAAAAUUUAUAUUUUUAAUUCCAAUUAGUUUAAUUUUAGUUUAUUUUUAAUUUGAAUGAGUUAUUGAUCUUAAAUCUAUUAGUUUAAUUGGACUUGUAAGGUAAAGUUUAUAUUUUUAAUUCCGAUUAGUUUAAUUUUAGUUUAUUUUUAAUUUGAAUGAGUUAUUGAUCUUAAAUCUAUUAGUUUAAUUGGACUUGUAAGGUAAAAUUUAUAUUUUUAAUUCUAAUUAGUUUAAUUUUAGUUUAUUUUUAAUUCGAAUGAGUCAUUGAUCUUAAUCUAUUAGUUUAAUUGGUCUUGUAAGGUAAAGUUUAUAUUUUUAAUUCCGAUUAGUUUAAAUUCUAGUUUAUUUUUAAUUUGAAUGUGUUAUCGAUCUUAAUUCUUUAGUUUAAUCGAUCUUGUGAGGUAAAGUUUACAUUUUUAAUUCCAAUUAGUCUAAUUCUAGUUAUUCAUGUGUUUCUUGAAAUCUAAAUGUUAGUUUUUGAAUGAUAAUUUUGUUAGUUUGUUUGAUUAGGAAGUCAUAAAUUUGUUGUCUUAGUGAUUGUUGGUCAAUUUUUUUUUAGGACCACUGGAAACCCAUGAAGGUUGGCCUUUACUCUCACCACUUUAAUUGAUAAGAUUUUCUAAAAUCUUUAUUUCGUGAUCUUUGUUUCCUUUUGUUUUGAUUGAUAUUUUGUUUUCUAUUUUUGUUAUUUUAAAAAUUAAUUUCUUUUAUUUUAAAACAAAACUCUUUUUCUCAAAAAAACCCUUUUUAAAAUUUUUUUUUUAUUAUUCAUUUAAAGCCUCUAGAAUCAAAAUCUAUUUUCUUUUUUAAAAAAUAACAUGCAACCAUAUCUUAAUCAGUUUGCAUCCUUCUCAAUUUUCAACAAAAAUAUCCUUCUCAAUUUUCAACAAAAAUUUUGGUUUUAAACAAAACGCGAAUCAAAGCUUGUGGUCCCAAAUAAAUGGAACAAUUUUAGGCUAAAUUCAUGUAUAUUAAUUUGGGGAAUUGGUGAAACCCCUACAUAAGAAAAUCUUUUCAAAAUUUACUUUUGCUACCACCCUACUAUUUAUCAUAAUCAUAUUUACUUUUUUUCUUUUUAGGAAUUGUAUACAAGAUAUGUAUGAUAAUUAAUUAUUCCGAGUUCUGAUAAUUUUUGCUAAUUAAUUAGAUAAGCAUGCUAGGAUUUAUUAUUUAUUAUCUAUUAUCUAUUAUCUAACCCUCAUGUUCUGAGGAAGUGCAUUAGGAGUUAUAUAUGCUAUCCAGGUACGUUCCCAAAAUCUCAUGAAUAUGCAUGUCAUUACCCUUGUUUGAUGCCAUACUUGAUUGCCUCGAUGCUUGUUUGAUCAUCCUUGAUAAAAUGCAUGUCGUGUGUCAUAUUUCUGAAUUAACCAUUGAUGUUUAAUGAUAGUGCUUAAGAAGUGGUUCAGGUACGCACCCUAACUCUCCUUUAUUGUGAUUGAUCUCCUUAUUUAGCAUGCUACUUUCUGAAAAUCACCUAGCUUACUUAAGUAUCCAUAAUUAAUCAAUUAAUUGCCUCAUUUCCCCAAUUUAGUCAGUAAAGACCUCUUUAGGGCUUAGAAGGGUGCUACCUCCUAGAGGUACCUUCCCAAUAAGUAACCUGAUCCCCGGACCUAGACUCGGGUUUUUCAAAGACAUGUUUUUUUCAAAAAUUAUGGAGUCACAUUUUAGGGUUUUUCUUUCUUGUUUUAUUUUCCCUUUAAAAUAAAAAUAAAAUAAGUGGCGGCUCCAACUUUUCCAAAACUAAAUAAUUUUUCACAAAUAAAAAAAGAGUCUCGCCAAUCGAGUGGGGACGCAUGUGAAAAAUGCAGGUCCACAGAGAGGUUUCUUGAGGUGGACAAGGUCAGAAGCAAAGAGCCUUUCCCUACUUUUUGGGGUUGGUUCCUUGAGUUCUUAGGAAGAACUUAGUUAACGUGUGAAUUCAUUCAGGGUAAUUUAUGUAAGAUUUUCUAGAUUUUGCAAGUGAAUGCACCUUAGCUUUUCCUAUUGUAUUUGUGUUUUUUUAGGUUGAUUAUUUUAUUGAUUGUCACCACUCAAGGAAUGGAAGCAAUAGGGUCUCUAGAUGUAGUGCCUAAAGGCAAGCAUACAGGCGUUGUUAGGAGUGUGCUUCCCAUGUCCAACAAGCAUAUUGACACCACCCAAAGCCAAGGCAUCUUUGGACUAGGAGUUCUAGCUUCUACUUAUGUGGACUUUGUAGAUGCAGUCUGGCUCUUCGAAAUAUUUAUUGUUAUGUAGUAGUUAUACACAUGUACUUUGUUUAAGUGAAUUGAUUUUUGGAUUUUUACUUAAAUCAAAUUUAAGGGUAUGUUGUUUAAUUUACUAGAGAUCUCUUGUUUGUAAUUCUCGUUAUCAUAUAUAGAUCUUUGUUAGUAUUUGCCAAUUUCCUCAAUAGCAACUGUAUUAGUUAUCAAUGGAAUGAAUCUUGAGUAACUUGUAGUAUCAUUUUUGGUUUUGAAUUGGCUAAUCUUUUUUGGAAGAAUGAAUUAGAUAUAUGAGCUUGAUUGCAAGCAAUAGUUGAGUUUGUUUUGAUCUUGGGGUAUUUGCCUUAUUGAUAGGACAUAGAUUUUGGGUCCAAAUAGUUGGAAAUUGAUGAGCUUAACCAGGACAUAGAUUUUAUCCCCUUGGGAGAACCACAACACUAACCAGUGUUCCUACAAAAGCUAAUAACCAUGAUUUAGAAAUGUGAUUUCCCUAAAGGGAAGCAUUUCUAAUCUUAUUUGAAGGGAAACUUUGAUGUCUUCCUUAAUACACUAGAAUAUUAAUUUAAAAACAACAAUUAAGGUUAUAUUAACUAUUAUAAUAAUUUAUAAAUUACAUAAAUAUGAUAAUAACUAUUAAAAUAAAAGUAUUAAACAUAAAAAUGUUUAAUUCUGUUGGGUAAAAACUUCAUAAAUAUUUUAUUAUUGAACUUCUAUCAUAUGAUCAAACAUAGUGAUGAUCCUUAGUUGGAUUAAUUAACACUUGUUUCAUAAAUUGAACAACAUAUAACAUGAUCAAUAAACAAACAAGUAAACAUCAUACUAGAUAAAACUAUCUCUUAAGAUUUCAAUUAUUACAUGUUUAAAUUACAAAUCAUAUUUUUGCAACUUUCGUAAAGUUAUGCAAUAGAUAUAAUUAAAAUUAUGAAACAUUGAAAAUGUAUAUUGAUUCAUUAUUCAAAUUCAUCAUAUCAUAUAUAUACUUUAGUUGUCCAUAAGAUCAAAUAAUAACCAAAAUUCGAAAAAUAUGUUUUAUGAUCCAAAAUUGAUUGACACUAAUAUCAAUUGUUACAUAAACUUUAUGUGAAAUAAUUAUUUUGGAAAAUCAAUUUGGAUGCAUAAAGCAUAAUAGUUAUAAGAAAUAAAGAAAUGACAAAAUAAUAAUUAUAUUUUUGUCUUAAUCCAUGAUACCGAUAACACUUUUAAAGUGAGUUCGAGUCACUUUGUGAAUUGUUGGGUCAAGGUAUUCAACUCAUCAUUCUCAUUUAGUAGAUGAGACAAUUGUGUGGUAUAUGUUGUUAUAAGCAAAACAACUAAAAACAUAAGAAUACAAUACAACUUAGGACCUUAACUUUAAAAAAAGAUUUAUAACUCUUAAUCUUCUCAUAAAAGAUUAUAUGAGAGUUAUACUCAUUAUUUUUAAACAUUAUAUAUAAAUUAAUGGACAAUAGUAAACUACCAACUUGAAUACAUUCAUGUAAUUAUAUAAAUUACACUUUUUCAUCUUCCUCUAUUAGUCAUAAACUUUAUAUAUAAAUUAAAUCUCAUAAUGAUGGAGUUACAAAAGUUGUAAUACCAUAUUCGUAUAAAUGAAAAUUUUCUAACUCCAUAUUUAUAAUUUUAAUUUUCUAUGUUAGAAGUUGAAUUUGUUCCACAUCGCCAAGUUACCGGGUUAUUAUGUUGUUUAUAUAUGUGGAUUGGGCACCCUCUCCCUUUAAGCAAGCUUUUAGGGAUGAAUUAUAUUCAAACCCAUUUAACAUGGUAUCAGAGCUUGGUUUGACUGGGGGUCGUGGGUUCAAGCCACCUCUUCGCAAUUCGUAUGUUUGUUCCUCAUUUGCAUGUUUGAAAGUCUAGAAAAGGGUAUUUGCAUUUGUUUGUUUGUCCCUUCACGUGUGGAUAUGGGGCCACACAUAAGAUAUGGUGUUAAAAAGCAUGAAAUGUAUAUUGAACCCAAAUCUUAUAAGUUUAAGCUUUUAGGAAAAUUAGUAAUUCAACAUUCUAUACAUAAAAUUAUUUGAUGUCCAAUCAAUUGAUUCACCUACCUAUCAAUUAAUAUACUUUUAAAUAAAAUAUAUUUCAAUCCAUUACACAAAUAUAAUUAAAACAAAGUACUAUAAUAAUAUGAGUAUGUGACAAAUAAAUAAAAUAAAAAUAAUCACAUGUUACAUGUAAACUAUAUUCAAAGGAAAAACCACAAGUCAUCCCCACUAUUAAACAAUCCAUUGUAUAAUGAUCAAUUACAAAGACCAAGUAUUACCAAACUUAAAAGUAUCUAAAUCAUACUCACUUUGCACAUUUUCUUUAUACUUGGAUCCUUUAAACUCAUUUAUCCCAAUGUGGAAGCAUCUUGAGUUCUAAUCAAGGAAAUCAACCUUUACUUCAUCAAGUUAAAGUCUCUUUAUAUCAUUGACAACCAUAUCAAGAUUUCUUUUGUUGGUUGCUUUCAAAGUCCCACUAGAAUUAGAUUGAAAUUUUUAUAAUCUCUAGAACUUUAACAUAUUAAUUCUUCAAUGAGUCAAUCAAAUAUUAAGUUUUAUCUCCAUAGAUGGACCUCAAUGAAUUUUUCGACAAAGGUGUUAACACUAAUUUCAUAUUAGUAAAAAAAAAUCAUGUGACACAUAUUGAUAUAUAUAUAUAUAUACUAAUUUCAUAUUCAUAGAUUGAAUUCAUGAGAAAAUUAUUCUUAAUUUUGUAAAAAUUAUAUAUAUAAGAAAGUUUUUAGGCUUACUAAAACACAUUACUAACCAAGUGGCAAUAUAUUUAUAAUUUAGGUCUCAUUAUUUUGUAAUCAAGUUUCAUUCAUUUGUAUCAUAUAUGAGUCCUAUUAUGUCAUACCUUACUCUUAUUACAUUGUACUUUGAUCUUAUUUGUUUAAACAUCGAUUUCAUUUCUUUAUAUGUACAUCACAUUUAUUUAUAUCUCAAUCUUAAUUAUUUGUAUCUUUAUUUAACAGUUUAGAUUUCAUUACAUAUUUUUAAAAUUUUAAUUUGAAAUUCGAUAUCUUAGUAUUUUUCUAAAAUAGCUACCUAUAAUCCUUGUAGAGUACUCAAAAUUCACUCCAACCCAUAAAAAAAAAUGACCUCUCUUCGUAAGUUGCUAUACUCAUUGCUAAACUAUAAUUCCAAAAUUAGCAGAACUUUUCAUACUUAUUCUAGGCAAUUAGAGUUGAGAUGUUCCGGGCAUAUACCAUAUUCUUUCAAGAUUUGAAAGAAAUGUUACGAUUUCAGCAUUAAAUAAUGCAUGUCGAUUAACAAUAUUGCUCAGAUUCUUUAGGCAAAGGUCCACAGACAAAAAAAUUAUUUAUUUAUUUUCUGAACCACCCCUGAAAUUGACACCUCCCAUACAGUCUGAUCUGCAUUUCUGUGGCACUAUUUCCCUUAUUCCUAACCAUAAAUCUGCUGCCAUCUCAAUAAUUCACAUCCUUAUCCACUCCUUAUCUAGGGUUGUAACACUUUUUUCAAAAAGAUUUUUUUUUUUUUUUUUCGAAGGGGUGGAUAAGGGUCCUGAGACAAGCUGUGGUAUAAUUAUAAACCCACUUGGGUAAUGGUUUCAUUGUCAGGGUAAUUCUAUUUAAGGUGAAAAUCAGCUGGGUCUAUCAUUCUUGUUUCCAUGUGACUGUUUCCAAGGAGAACUCAACCCUCAAAUCCAUCGAGCAGUCAUAUAAAAAUACACGCAGAUUUCAUAUCUUGAAGCUUGUCCUGUGUUCAGAUCGGAUAACUCACUCAUAUGCCUAAUCACUAAUCGCCAACUUGAGUGUAAAAAAAGCGUGGGGCGAUAUUAUUUGUAUAUGGGUUUGACUGUUUGAGAGAGAAAGGUGGGGUGUCCCUUGGAGGAGUCCAAAGGCCAUUUUUGAACCUGCCUUUGAUUAUCGCCAUGGCAAAUCAACAGCUUGUAGUAUAUAUAUAUUAAUGGAGACCAAGACUCAAAUAGAGAGAGAGACGCGGGGAUGCGAUAAAGAGAACAGUAUAGCCAAGAGUAUAUAAGCAUUUCUCUUGCUGUAAUGGUGAUUCAGAGACUGGAAAUGUGUAUAUCACUGCUGAAAAUGGCAGUAGAGUUUGUGCUUGUUUUCGCGGAGGCAGUCGGGCUAGUCAUCAACCACAAUGCCACGCCGCUUUUGGCAAACUCAGCCUCAGUUGGCAAUGAUGUUUCUGUCCCUUUUAUCGGUUUUCUUCUUUGAAUUCUUCGUCUUGUAGUUUCCUUCCUUACCAGAAUGCUCAUUGGCCAUUGUAUAUGUUGAGGGUUCUUUUUUGCCUUGAUAGAUUUUCUAAAGGAUGUGCAUGUUUGAUAGGAGAGAGUAUAUAUACACAUCUAUGUAAACUUUGAUUAAAUUUUGUUCUGGGUGAGCUUCAUUUUCUGCAAAUUCAUUUGCUGAUAGCUUUGGAAACGAAUCUUCAGUUGUUUGGGUGCUGAUUAUUUGCUUGCUUCACACGAUUUUAUGUGCUGUUCCUUUGGUAAUAAUCUUGUUGGGUGGAUCAAGGAGAAGAGCGAAGAUCUGAGGGAAAAUAGAGUCUGGAGAAAGAAAAGAUGUAAUGAUGAUUAAGAAAGGCUUUAAUAUACUUGCAAGAUCAGGAAAAAAUAUUUCUUGGGUAUCAAUUAUUUUCUUGCUUGAUAUGGGUUUGAUACUCUUUUUCAAUUGGUGAUCAUUCUGGGAAGAUCAAGAAGAAGAAAAUGGGGUCUAGAUGAAGAAAAGCUAUAAUGGCGAUUAUUAAGUGGAAUCAGAUGAAAUAAAAGUCUGUUUCCAUCAUUCUUAAUAUGGUUUCUUUUGUCAAAAAUGGAAGAUGACUUGAUUUUCAUAGUCCCAGCAGGACUUUAGUACUCAUCAAACUCAUAAAUUUUGAACAACUUUGAGCUAACCUUCUGCAUUAAUUUGGUGCAUCUGCGCAGUUGCAGAGUAUGAACACCCACAAAAUCUUAAUAUGAAUCUUUUGGGGCAAUAGCUUCUAUAUAUGAUGGAUGAUAAGAACAAAGCAAAUCUUGGGUUCUCCAUGGGCACGAUCAUUUAUCCGCCAUAUAAAAUGCAGAUUUUCCUAACACCAACCCCUUAUUUUAAUAAAGUCAAGUUAUUUUAAGGCCCCCAAUAUUAGACAUGCCUUAGAAUCAUUGGGUCUGUGAUUAAAAAUGUAGUAAUAUCAUUUAAAAUACCUAACACUGAAAUUUUGAUAAUUUUGAAUGCCAUAGUGUGGAUUUGAAGAAAGAAAUCGCAUCCAAGAUCUCUUCCUUUUCCUGGGAAACAUUAGUCUUGGUCAAUUAUGAACUGUUACACGUUGCCUAUCAUGGUCAUAUUUAUAUUAGCUUUGAUUUCUAUGGGGGAUAUAAUUUAUUUGUAUGCUAAUCAUAGAGGUGAUACAUGUGAUCCACAUGUCAUAUUUGGACUUGGAAGCAAUCAUUGGAUUCCUUUGAUGAACUGGCAAUGGAAGAAUACUAAUUGCUCCGGUCCCUUUCUUUUUUCAAAGUAGGAUGAUCAGGUCCUUUGAUCCCUUCGACUCCCUCUGGCUGUUUUUCUUUGUUCUUUUUUCAAUCAUCCAUAGCUUAAAAUUAAAGCCUUGAUGCCCUCCUCGACUUUCCCAAGAUAAAACACCUUAUCUUCACUUUAUUUCUCUUCCCUUUAAAUUUGAUUUUAGAUCUGAAAUCCAGGGCUUAUGACCCUGUAGAAGAAAGACAGAUAUGAAGCUUGGGAUGAUUUGAACUUCAGUUUGAUUUUCUGCACACUCUGUUAAAACUCCUGAAAUAUAGUUGUAUAUUGCAAUACAUUUAAUUGUUUGAUACAUCUGAACUAUGAUGUUCUAUUAGUAAAAAUUUCUUUGAAUCAAUCCACGGCUCAAAGUACCAAUUUCUAUUGAAACUUUUUUUCUUUUCCUGCUCAUUCAAUUGUUUCAUUUUCCACAUAAUGGUAUGACAACAUCAAGAAUACUUCUCAGCAAUUGCCUGCAGGUGAACCCAAAGCUCUUUUGGCUUAGAGAUCAUGACCAUGUGAUCAGAUCCUUUAAUCUCUUUAACAGCAUCAGGUGGGUUUUUUUCAAUCAUCCAGAGUUGAAAAUCCCUUUUCCCCAGCUUGUCUUCCUCUGAAAUAAUAAAGACACGUUUAACCGAGGCAUAUUUCUUCGACAACAUGAGCUCAUUUGACAUGUCUUCUUCAAUGAACAAGCGUACGGGUCUCAUCAACACAGUCCCUAGUGCCAAGUCCUGGAAUAUUUGUGCCCGAAAUGAUAUGACAACAACAAUGAAGGUCUCAUGAUUUUGGUUGUAAGGCCUUAAUAAAUGGAGUUCUCACCUCAGUUGGGCUCAACUGAUACACAUUCAGUGAUAAGAACAAGGGGCCAAAGCUGAAAGUGGUGGGAGGAUUGUUGGGGCCAUUAUCAUAUGUGAACUGGCUGUCUAGUAGAGGACCUUGUCUCCUGAGUGACUUCAAUAAGAAGUAGAAACCAGGCUAAAAGUCAGAAACAGGGGAAGCCUUCCCCUCUUAAUCAGCAAGUAAAUUUCUGUAAAAGAAAAAUAGUAUGUAUGAAGUACCUCUUGAUUGAGAGUGGAAAUGUUGAGAGUGGGACCAGGCAUUGAGGCAGUAACAAAAACAGCUACAGAAACCUUUUCUGGGAACUUCUCCAUGGCCUGAGAAAUGGCCAAUCCACCCAAGCUGUGUCCAACGAGAACCACCCUCUCAUCUGCAGGGAGUGACUCCACGAAGUCCCUCAGUGGCUGGAAAUACCAAGAAAUUGAUCGCAGAUCACCCACUUGUUUUGGGUUAAUUCCAGAAGCAGCCAAGUCCAGAGCAGUAACUUUGUGGCCAGAUGAUUUUAGUAGUGCCACAAUCUUGUACCAAGACCAGGCACCAUGGCAAGACCCAUGAACUAGAACAAAGUGCUUGACGGGAUUAGCCUGUCUCCCCUCUGAUGCCAUUGGAUACACUGAAGAAACAAGAAAAAUCAGAAAGGAAACAAAAAUCAUAUGCUUCUUCCUUGCUUCCAUACUCCUUUCCUGUUACAGAGAUGGUCAGCACCCCAGCAUUUUAAAGGGCACAAUUGGGUAGGUUUUCACUACAACUACUAAUCUAAUUGAUUAAAAAUUUUCCCGUGAAAUUGACUCUAGAAAUAAAAUAAGGACUAAGGAUUCAAGAACACGUACACUUUGACUGCCAGAGUUUAUGUCUUUUCAUAGAUGACACAUGCACCUGCGUCACACUCUUUUUCAAUGAUAAAGAAGUUAUGCAAAGGAAGAAAGAAUGAAAUAUACAGAGUCAAGUAGUUAACUCCUCCCCUUGAAUUCUUCUCUUGCCCGGAUUGGUUUGUAACUGCAAACAUUUUCUUUUCCCAAUGUGAUCUGUGGAUUGAGUUCUGAUCUCAAUUUGUUUUUGGCAUUUUUGGUUUUGCUUCUGCAAAUCUUGAGAUGUAUCUUUCAAUUAAUAUAAGUUGUGCAGUUAAGGUUUUUGGACAUAUAAAAUGUUAGCCAAACCUUUCCCGUGGCAGGUUGAAGGUACUUUGGGGUAGGCUUGGUCAUGCUUGAUACCUCAGUCUGACUCAAACAUGAUGUUUUCACCCAUUUGAAUUGAUCAAAGUUGUGUUGACUGGCAUGAUUCCUUUAAUAAAGAAGUUGUUUUAGGAUUAAGGCGUACAACACAAAUUUGACUUAAGUAGAUCUAUUUAAUUAUUGUGUAUUAACAUAAUUAUAAUCAAUUGAGUCGAAAAUGAAUUAAAUUAAAAAGUUAAUUUUAUUGAUUUAAAUAAGACCUAAUUCAACCUGAUUAUUAAAUUACUCAACUUAUUAUAUGAUUUGAACACUGCCCACCAACAUUAAUUGUAACCCGUGCUUUGAGUUCAGGUGGCAGCAAGAGUUUGGCCUUUGUUUUGAGUGUUGGAUGAAUGUUGGAUUAACCUUUCCCAUGGCUGUCAAAUUCCUCAUAAAUUAUUGGUGAUUGUAAUAAUUUCCUCAAAAAGUAAUGGUGCUAUAUGCUUCUUUAGGAUCCAUUGAUCUUAAUAAUUCUCUUCCUGGUAUAGGAAGAAAGUGACUAUUCCAUUACUGCAGCUUUCAUUGCUGCUUAUUUAUCAAGCAAAUUACAUUAUUAUUUUCACACCAAAUCUCCAAAUUCACCAUGUACUUAUCCUAUAUACUGCAUGGUGAACUUCAGAGAGCUAAAACAAGCUCUUAUUGAAUACAUGAUAGAUGAUGUCCCACUGACCCUUUUACUCUGAUACCUUGAAAUGAGAAAUUUGGAGGUUUUCCACAUCAAGCUUCUUGAAAUUACUGCGCCUUCUCGCAGCAAAGAACUUUCCCCAGUUGUAUGCUCUGUACUUUGGCUUUUCUCCCUUCGUCAGCUCCUCCAAGGGCUUCACCCAAACAUGGUGCCCGGGACUGAAAAAGACCGGAAUUGAGAACCUUUCCCUCUCUGAAUUCACCGUCACCCUGUGCUCGACACUUUCAUAAGUAUCGUUGCUCCAGACCUGGUUUAAUAUCAGUAUAAUUAGCCAAAAGGGUGCAAAAUUUCUUGAUCCCAACAGUACUGAUAAGCAUGUACUUAUAAUUCAAAGUUCUUGGGUGGUACCUGAAUUAUAUCCCCAACAUUGAUGAUAAAAGCAUCUGGGGUGGGCUUAACUCGAACCCAUUCUCCAUUGGUUUUUCGCUUUACUUCCAACCCUCCAACAUCAUCCUGGGCAAGGAUGGUUAAGGCUCUGGAAUCCUUGUGGCGACCAACGCCCAAAGCUAGGUGAGGGAUGGGGCAAGGUGGGUAGUGAUUGAGGCGGAUGAAGUUUGUUGAUUCUUCAAAGAGAAUAUUGAAUCUGUUUUCUGGCAAACCUAAGCUUAGUGAGAUGAGUCCUAACAGCUUGAAAGCUAGUUUUCCCAUUUCUCUAGCAUAUUCUUCACAUACCUCCCUGUAUUAAUCAGUUCAAUUAGAACAAAAAAAAAAAAGUAAUUCACUGUAGUGACUGUGCCUUAACUGGUGAAACUUGUACCUUAAUUCAGGAGGGUACUGAGGCCACUGAUUGGUCAGCUCUUUGAGCUCCUUGUCGUCAGGAUCAGGCGAAGCAGGGAUGAAGGCGGGGGUAGGCACCACGAAAUCAAAGACUUCCUUCCAGUCCCUAACGUUCUUGGUAUGCUCAGUAUCAAAGUACCCCAAAGGAUUCACCUCAUCUCUACUCACCUUCCUCUUCUCCUCCAGUGGGAGAGCGAAGAACUUCCUCGCGGCAUCCUCAAUUUUACGACGAGACUCCGAGGGCACCCCAUGGUUGAUGACUUGAAAGAAGCCCCAGUUCUUGCAUGCAUCAGCUAUUUGAGAAACAUGGUUGGAAGCAUUGGCGGAAGAGAGAUCAAUGAGGGGGAUGCCUUCAGCUUCGAUAACAGCGAGCUCAGGCCUGUGUUGGGUGUCUUGGAUGAAGGCUGGAUCGACCUCUCCCAUGGCUGUGGUAGUGGUUAGAACUUAGAACUCAGAAAUGGUGGUUAUGCACUGCUAGUGUUAGCUGCAGGUGAAGAUGGUGACGGGGAUUUGGCCACUUGGCAGGUGGUUUAGUACAUUGAACCUGGACAUAAAUUGGGUUACGUUUUAAGUUUUGGUUGGGGGUGUGAGCUCACGGGUUGCGCAUAUGUUAAUGAUAAUUGUUCAAGUGAUUUUACCGACAUAAAACAAAAUCUGCCGCCCCAAAGGAAUCUCUCUCAAUGAUUUUACCGACAGCACUCUCCACAUUCAAAUGUUUCAUCCGUAUUUGAAUUGGAGUCUAAUACUCUCAUUGUUUAAUUAACUCCAGCUUGAUUAAUGAAUCCAGUGGUGUCGUGUAUAUUUUCGAAUUCUCUGCUUUAUAUUUAAACCUUCUUGGUUUUUAUGUUCUCAUCCAAUGGUUUAAAACCCAAAAACGAUGCAAAGAGAAAAAGAGAAAAAAAAAAAUAUACAACACAAUUGGAAUUAAAAUAUAUGUAAUAAAAAAAAUAAAAACUAAUUCAUUUUGAGUUUUAUUUUUCAAAAUAAUAACUCUAAUAUAAUAACUAAAUAAAUAAACAUAUAGUAAUUAAAUACAUAAUAACUAAAUAUAUUAAUGUCUUCUCAUAAUUGAGACUUUACAACAUAUACUCAAUUUUUAAACAAUUCUAAAAAAAUAAGUGAAAAUAAUUAAAAAUACUUAAAAUAUGUUACCAACAAAUACCUUAUUGUCCUAACAAAUCUCAAAAACCUUAUUUAGGACCAAUUGAAAAUCAAAAAAAAAUUCAUAUUUCUUUACUCUUGAAAAAAAAAAAUGGUUCUUGAUGACAGUCUCAAACAUAUCCUCCCAUUUGGUUAUUUUAUUGUAUAAGUUUUUCAAUAAAAUAAAAUAAUUAAUGAUAGUGUUUGUAAGGAAAAAUCAAAAUAUCAUACAAAAUUAAUACACAUCUUUUUAUUAUUCAAUAUUUCUAUAUCAUAUUUACAUUUUUUUUUAUAAAAAAAUUAUAUAUAUACAAUGUUUUAAAAACCGGAUCGGAUCGGCCGAUCCAACCGAUGACCGGUCACAUUUUCGGUCCGAUCCACUCUAUUAAACCGUUUAACUAUUGGAUCGGUUACGAACCGCCUAAACCAACGGUCAAACUGGUGAACCGAACAGUCCAUAUUGGCCCAUCAUUUUGCAAGUCCAUUGUAUAAAAAAUUAAAAGUUGUAGGCCAAAAACCAUACUAGGCCAUGUCUUAACAUGACAAAGCCCGCACCCAAACCAUUUAAGUAGGCUCAGUUUUGAGCCCACAAGGUGGGCAUGCUGUUGCUUUCAAUGAGGAUACUUUUUAUAGGCAUCCUUUGCACCCUUAUUUCUCUCACAAUCCGAUGUGGGAUUGCAAACUAAUAUGAUAAUAUCAAUGAAAAAAAUUUAACAAAUGCAACAAGAGGGAGGAUUUGAAGUGGGACCUCAGGUUUUGUAAAUAAACUAGGACACCACUCGGCUACUUAUUUGAUAUGCCAAACAAAACAAUAUAUGUUGGAUUUUAAUUUUUUUUUAAUAUUAAAUAAAAAUAAUAUAAUAUUUUUAAAAAUUAUAAAAUUAGUUAAAUUUUUCAUUUUGAAUAUAUUCACAUUUAAAUAUUGUACACAUUUCAUUUAAUAUGAUUUAAUUUGAUAAUAUCAAAUAUAUAAAAUAAUAUUAUUGAUUUUUAAUUUAUUCAUAUAUAUUUUAAAAUUUUUAUAAUUAUUUUUAAUUUUAAUAAUAUAUAAAUUACAUAUUUAUGACGUCAUCGGUUCGACCGCGGUUCGACCAUCGAUUCGACCGCGGUUUGAUCGGUAAACCGUGAACCGGUAACUUUUUCGAUUCAAUGACCCAUCCGGUUCUGAAAACAUUGUAUAUAUACAUAAUUUUAUCAUUUUUUUAAGUUAUAUUUAAAAUUUUCAUAUAUUUAAUCAAUUUACUAAUAUCAAUAUUUCCUUACAUAUUUUAAUAGUCGUAACCAUACAAAAGAUUGUCAAAUUAAAGGAAACAACACAUGAAAUGAGGAUGUGGAAAAAAAAAACACGAUAACAACGAAAUCAUGAUUUGUUUUUUAUUAUUCAAUAUUAUUAUAUCAUAUUUACAUUUUUUUUAUAAAAAAAUUAUAUAUAUACAUAAUUUUAUCAUUUUUUUUAAGUUAUAUCUAAAGUUUUCAUAUAUUUAAUCAAUUUACCGAUAUCAAUAUUUCCUUACAUAUUUUAAUAGUCGUAACCAUACAAAAGAUUGUCAAAUUAAAGGAAACAACACAUGAAAUGAGGAUGUGGAAAAAAAAAACACAAUAACGACGAAAUCAUGAUUUGUUUAAGGCGAAGGAAAUAAUAGUGAGAUAGACAAAGCUUAUAAUAACAAAGUACUGACAUUAUUAAUAUGUGGAAUUUGGUUUUCAGUUUUUUUUUAGAUUUUUAUAUAUUAUAUCUAUAAAUCUUAAUUCAAAUCUAAGUAAUACUUAAUAGAACUAUGAUGUUUGUUUUUUUUUUUUUUUUGUUUCUUUUAUCUAAAUCUUAAAGCAAUUUGCUUAAAAAUUGAAAUCAUUUUUAAAAUUAUUUGUUUAUUUCAUUUUAAUAGGAAAAAUAAAUAAUUUUACUUUUAACUAUGUAUACCUUAGUGAUGGGAUCAAAUUCCCAACGCAAUCAGUUUGAAUAACAACAUAUGAUUGAAGACGAUCAUCGCUAAAAGCUCUAUAUUCCCCAACCCAAUCAGUUUGAGCUCAAAACCAAGCUGCAAUUCAACCUAGUUUUGCAAUGGAUUGCAUCAGAUUUGUUUCCAAGAAGAUAAAAAUAAAACGAAACUUGGAAUAAGCAUCAAUGAAGUGAAUGUGAAACUGAUAGCCAAUAGAGGAUUGUGUAUUUGACACUCCCCAAAAAUCUGACUGCAUUAAUUUGGAGCAGUUCCGUAUAUUGAGUUGCAGAUAAUGGAAAUGGGAAUUCAUGGAUUUUGCCCAGACAACAUGUUGAAUUGAAACUACUCAAUUCAACAGAAAAGAAGCUACCAUGAUGGAGGUUGAGGAGUACUCCAUUGUUGGCAGUGGAGGCUCUCAUACCGUCUGAAGAAGCUAAACCAAAAGAAAUUCCAGCAGAAAAGAAAUGCUUUUUCCCUCAUCUAAAUAAUUGAUUACAAAAUUCUAUACAUAGCUAAUUGUAGAACAAACUUUAAUUAUCUGGAACUGUGAUAACAAACUACUAAUUGGGUCAACCAACUCUCUUGGCAUGAUUUAUUUAGAGUCCAACACCAUGAUUUUUCAGGGACUAAAAGUGGAAAAUGGUCUUACAACAUCAUUGUUCGGAAACUCUGAAAUGAUGAAUCUGAAUGUUUUCGACAGUUUGCUUCUUGAAAUCACUCCUGUUUCUAGUUGCCAUGAACUUUCCCCAGUUGUACUCUUUAAAUUUAGGGGGGUUUUCCUCAUUGGUCAACUCCUCCAAUGGCUUCACAUUCACAUGAUGCACCGGUAAGAAAAAGAAUGGAAUCGAAAACCUUUCCUUCUCACUAUUCGCCACCACCAUGUGCUCCACGCUCUCAUAUUUAUCAUUGCUCCAAACCUGUAUAGUGUUGGAUAAAUAUUGAGAAAAAGUAACACCAAUUUCUCCAACAUGUUUUUCUUUUUUUUUAAAUAAUAAUAAUAAGAUACAAUAUAUAAGACCUAGCUAUUAUAAUACCUAUAAAAAAAACUCAAACCAAUCACAACAUGUCAUGUAUAUAAUUAAGUUUAUUUACUUCGUAUAUGAUUUCAUUUUUCUAGAUCUAGUCUCGAUACUUUUAUCCCUAUCCAAUGCUCUAGAUUUUAUCCUAUACUUUUGAGGAGGUUUUGAAUUGAUAACCUACAAUUUUCCAAUGUGUACAAAUGAAAUUGAAGUCAUUUGAUGGAUCAUACCUGAAUAAUAUCACCAACAUCAAUGAUAUAAGCAUUUGGAAUAGGCUUUACUCCAAUCCAUUCACCAUCAACUUUUCCCUUCACUUCCAACCCUGUGACACCAUCUUGAAAGAGAACGGUUAAAGCUUUGGCGUCCUUGUACCGACCCACAACGAGAGAGCUUCGGCCACGAGAACGGCGGAGAGUGAUAAUUGAGUCGGAUUAAGCUGGUUUGCCAUUGGAAUAACUCAUUCAACUAGUCCCCGGCCAAGCCUAAGCUUAAGAAGAUGAGUUCUAAGAACUUGUUGGCUAAUUUUUCUAUUUCUCCAACAUAUUCUUUCCAAAUUUUCAUGAAAAUAAGUCAUUAUAUAAAAUAUAUCAAUACUCAAAAUGAAUUUAAUAAAAUCUUGCCAUGCCUUUACGUCUCUAUUUGAGUUUGUUUGCCUUUGAGUUGUGCCUUUACGUCUCUACUUGAGUUUGAUCGACUUUGAGUCGCAUUUUUAUGCCUCUAGUUGAGUCUAUUUAGCUUCAAGUCGUGCCUUAACAGUUCGAGUUUAGUCUAUUCGGCUUCAAACCGCACUUUUACAUCUCUUUCAUCUUUGAGCCACGUAUUUAUGUCUCUAGUUGAUUUUGUUUGACUUUAAGCUGCACCUCAUGCCUUUAGUUGAGUCUGUUCAGCUUCUAGUCGUGCAUCUAUAUUUCAAGUUGAGUUUAUUUGGCUUCAAGUUGUGUCUUUACGUUUCAAGUUGAAUCUAUUUGGCUUCAAGUUGAAUCUAUUUGGUUUCAAGUCGCACCUUUACAUCUCUAGUUGAGUCAGUUCAACUUUGACCCACGUCUUUACAUUUCUUGUUGAGUUUGUUCAACUUCAAGUCAUGCUUUUAUGUCUCUAGUUGAGUUUGUUUAGUUUCAAGCCACAGCUCUACAUCUCUAGCUGAGUCUAUUCUGCUUCAAAACAUGCCUUACAUUUCAAGUUGAGUCUAUUCGGCUUCAAGUUGCGCUUUUGCAUCUCUAAUUGAGUCUAUUCGACAUUGAGCUACGCCUUUACUUUUCAAGUUAAGUCUAUUUAGCUUCGAGCAACGCCUUUAUAUUUGGAGUUGAGUCUGUUAGGUUUCAAGCUACGCUUUUACAUCUCUAGUUGAGUCUAUUCGACUUUGAGUCAUGCCUUUAUGUUUUGAGUUGAGUUUAUUCAACUUUGAGUUACAUUUUUGCGUCUCUAGUUUAGCAUGUUCAACUUGAAGCAAUGUCUUAACGUUUCAAGUUGAGUUUGUUCGGCUUUGAGUUGCGCCUUUACGUCUCUAGUUGAGUUCGGCUUCGAGUUGUGCCUUUUUGUUUCGAGUUGAGUUUGUCUUAACUUUGAGUCACACCUUUACGUCUCUAAUUGAGUUUGAUUGGCUUCAAGCUGCGUCUUUAUGUUUCAAGUUGAGUUUGUUCGGCUUCAAGUCGUAGCUUCAAGUCAUGCCUUUAUGUCUCUAUUUGAGUAUGUCUGGCUUCAAGCCACGUCUUUAUGUUUUGAGUUGAGUUUGUUAGGCUUUGAGUUGCACCUUUACGUUUCGGGUUGAGUUUGUUCAGCUUUGAGUCACAUUUUUAUAUAUCUAGUUGAGUUUAUUCGACUUCGAGCCACACCUUUGAGUUUCAAGUUGAGUCUAUUCGGCUUCAAACCACACUUUUACGUAUCUUGUUAAGUCCUAUUCAGCUUCGUGCUAUGCCUUUACAUUUCUUGUUGAGUUUGUUCAGCUUUGAGUAUCGUCUUUAUCCUUAUUAAGUUCAUUCGGCUUUAGUCGUGCCUUCACCCUUAUCCUUAGUUUUGAGCCUAUUUGACUUCAAGCCAUGCGUUUGUCCUUGUUAAGUUUAUUCGGCUUCAAGUCGCCUCCUAGUUUUAAGUUUGUUUGGCCUCAAGCCGCACAUUCCCCUCUAUUUGAGUUCAUUUAGAAUUUUCCCCUUCCUCGAGUUUAUUAUGACAUUCUCUUCCUUCAAUAUCAUUUUUUGUGAGUUAAUCACUUCUUAUCUUGGUUGUCCUUGAGUUGUAUGUUGUGUCACGAUCUAGUGUUGUUCAUUGCAUAUACACUCCCCACAUUAUUUGUAUCUUUAUCUUAAGUUUCUUCCUUAGUAUGUGAUCCUGAUCUUUGAGCUUAGCAUGCCAUGUGUUAUGAAAAAAUUAUGAGUUCUCUUUUGUUCUUCAAUGCAAUUCACUUCAUACCAUUCAUCACUCAUGUUUCACUCUUCGUGUUCAGUUCACUCAUGAACUAUAUCAAAUAAGGGCAUAUUUAUAGACCCUCCAUUUUGUCUCAUAGCACGUAUGUUUGCAUUUUUUAUUUUCCUCUCGCCCCAUGCCCAUUUUAAUUUGGUGUCCGUUUGGAUACUUCUUGCUUAAUCAUUCAUCAUCCCUUAUUAGUUCACAUUUACUUGGCUCAUUAAUCAUUUUUUAGCCACAUUUUGGAGGCCAUUUAGGGCGAUUUUGGGUCUAAGCUUUUUUUUUUUAGAGGCUCUCAGUAGAUGGCUCAUAAUGAGGACACGUGUUUUUAAAGGGGUCUUCUAGAGGCUUCUAGGGUCAGUUGGGAGAGCACGUUCUUAUUUAUAUAUCUAUUGUUUUGGAGGUGAGUUGUACACCAAGAGAAUGAGGGAGUAGAUGGAGGUUUUUUAAACAUUGUAAGAGGAGAUUCGUUUUGAUUGGCAUUUAUACCAAUAAAAUCUUGGGAUUACUGAGAACUCAACGGGACCUUCCCUCUCAAAUCAUACAAACUUGGCCAAAGAGGGGUGGGUACCAUUGAGUUCUUAGGCUUUCAUGUCGAUAACUCAAUUCAUCUUAUUACUAAAGGGAUGAACCCAAUCCGGAAUAUGAACCAAAAAAGAAAAUGUCUAUUAAAUUGAUGACAGGAAUACCAGUUACAGUAGCUAUUAGCCAAAAGGAAUCCUUCCAAGUUGGAGGUGGUUAGAGAGAGAGAAGGCUGGGCGAGAGAGAGAGACACGUAAAGAGAAUAUUCUCUCUGGUGAGGGUUUGUUAGACGGGAAGCAAGAAGCUUGAGGGUAGAGAGGACAAUCAGAGGAGGAGUUUGGAGGAAGAGGGGAAGGGAGCUCGAAGGCAAGCAGAUCAGUGCUUGAGGGGACGUUUUUCCAAGUAUGAUUAUUGGGUCUCUCAUUUUCCGCUGUUCUCCUUUCCUUCCCGGUUGAUCUCUGGAUUUUAGUUGAUGCUUUGAUAUGGAUUCCAGAUGCCACACUUCAUCUUGUUGAGCAUUGGUUAGCUAUGGACUUGUUACUGCUACUCUUCUGUUUCUUUUGAGUUAACUUUGGAAAUGAAUCUGAAUAUAGACUGGUAUUUGCUGCUUGAUGUUUCGGGAAUCAUAUUUUAGUUGUUUAAAAUUCAUUCUGGCAUGUUCGGUUCCUUCAAGCUCAUUGAUGAAAUAAUGAAAUGGAGCUCUAUAUAUUUGUUAAUGGGUUGGUUCUCUGUUUGGUUAUCUUUUAAGUUCUUCCUCUUCUCUUUUCUCGUUGCCUUCUCUUCUCUAGGGGGGUGUCGUUUGAGCAUAUGCAUACUAGGAGAAAUGGGGAGCUGGAGGCUUAUCCUGGCAUCAACCUCGCGUUGGGGACGGCUUGAUCGAAGAACAUAUGAAUUUUUCAGAUACCUAGAACUUACAUCAAAAGAAGCCUCGGAGUCUAGGUCAAACACAAACACAUCCUUUGCCUUGGUGAUUUUAUUGACUUCUGCAUGAUGGGCACCCGAGGGUGGGGACUGGAAGAGAAAUGAUGAAUCUGCCUAAUAUAGUUUGUCUAGAAAGGAGCUUGUAUUAAAUGAUGGUUACCCACUGUGUCAGAUGCUGAAAUCUGGGUAUGAGGACUCCCGGUGGCAUCGGAAAGAUGAGUCGCACCAUUCUUCCCACAGUAGAAAGCUUGACCUCCGAAUUUGGGCUUUUUCAUGGCCAGACGAGAGGAGUGAUCGCAAUAGUGCGAGCAGAGCCAGUCAAAUUAAGCCUGUUAUCAGAGGAGUGAACCUACUGCCUUGUUCUAUCUCCGAUGGUCUGCUCAGCUCCUUCAACCUCCACCGCUCUCCUCUUUCCAAGUUCUCCAUUUUCAGUCUAGAGCCAACAAGAGUCGCAGAAAUCCUCAAAGAUUGACCUACAUGGUAUCGUGAGUACCUCGAUGUGGAUGUUCUUAAUGAGUUGUCAACUGGAGCCAAAUGGGUGUUUGAUAAGACCCAGUGAAGAUGUAAAAAUUAUAUAAUGAAGCUUGCAGAAAGACUCAAGGGUUGAUGGAAGGCAUCUCAACGAAGUUUGGCUUUUGUAUUGUGAAUCUGGCAAAUUACCUAUACUGCAUGGAUCAUCACUCUUUUCACGUGGAGGUACACAUGUCCUUUGUACUGUACACUUGGGGCAUCACAACCUGGUGAUGAUCAACGACUGGAUCCUCUGGUUGGUCCUCCAACAAAGCGCUUCAUGCUUCACUGAAAUUUCCCGGAGUUCUCGAUUAACGAAGUUGGCCAGCUUCUUAACCUGCACUGUUCCACAGAAGUCGCAUAAAGAUUUGACAUUGAAAUUGAUGUGGUUUUUCCUUUGCCAAUGGUGGUGGGCGCGCUUUGUAUGUAGAUUCCGAAGGAACUUCCAACUUGAUGGCUGUGAGUGGUAAUUAGGUUGGAGAAGAAACUACUGGGUCUGCCCCAUUAGUUUUCCAUUGUUAAGGUAGUUUGGUGCACAGCUUUCUGGAUCAUCUACACCACCAGCACCUCCAGCCGCCUGUUUUGAUCAGUUUCUGGAUUUCCAUCUCCAAAUUGUGCAAGCAGCGACUGAUUUGGUGUCCAUACAAGCGGCUACUGAAAUGGUUCAAACCUCAAAUGCUGAAGGGAAAGGAGCUUUUGGAAAAUAUCAUGAAGAAGACUCACCCAUCUUACAUGAAAUUAUACACAACUCCAUGGACCAGAACCGGAACUCAGACUUAAAUUUGUCCAAGAGAAGAUCAGUGUUAUACAAGUCAAUUGCAGUCAUUCCUGAAAGAAGUGAUCAGAAGAGUAAACCUGGAAAAGCAGCGAGUGAAACAAGGUCUGUGACAUUGAACAAUUUGCAGAUGGGUGUUCCCACAAGCUCCUUUCCCCUCUUCCCACGUGCAUGAAAUUCCUACAUGCAUGGCCACCUUCUUAGGUGUGCAAUUCGGUGCAUAUGCUCAAGCGUACUACCCCCCUCUUCUUUUAAAAAAAAAAUGAUUUUAAAUUUAAAUUUUUGACAAAUUCAUUUCCCUUUUAAAAUCCCUCCUCAGUAAUUCUCUUCAAAUUAAUAAAAUCUAUUUUCAAUAAAUUUCUGCUGUCAUCUUCCUUUUGGCGUGGACCAUUUUUCUAUUUUCUUUGAUUUUUAAUAAUUUUCUGAUUUUUUUUAAUAAAUAUGAAUAAAUUCUAUGUUUUUUAAAAUAAUGGAAUUUUCUCCAAAUUUCUAUUAUCUUUUUCUCCGAGAUCAUUAGGAAGAUGAAAUUCCUAAAAUUAAUUCAUGCAAAUAAAUUGGACGUUGGUGGGUCCAACAUAUGAAUUUUUCUCUUUUGAUUAUUAAUUUUAAUUGCUACGCUUGAUUGAUUAAUGAUUGAUCUCUACCUUGCUCUAACAUACAUAAGAUUUAUUGUGUUUGUGAUUGUACACUAACCAUGUUUCCCACGAAACGCUCAACUUAUUGCUAUUGUACGUUCCUUCCUUCUCCUAUUUGUUUAAGUAUAGCUCAACCAUAAUACAUCACUGAUAAUUACUUGGUAUCUAUUGAUUUUUUGAUCAAUUGUCAUAUACCUUAACGUAAUUAUCAGAGACCUGAUUUUAGGGUAUAGAGGGGUUUUACAACUUAUUAUCGUACCUUUUCAAUAAGUAACCUGACCCUCGAACCCAAACUCGGUUUUUUAUAAACCUGUACUUUCCUUUCAAGUUUCAUAUUUAGAGUUUUAUUUUUUAUUUUGUUUUCUAUUUAAAAAUAAAAUAAAAAUAAGUGUCAAAUUUAAAACCAUAUUUUCUAAAAAUCAAUUGUUCAUCAAUUUAAACUGAGUCUUGUCUUCUUUUUUUUUUUUCAAGUGAGGACAUGAUCUCAGGUCCACAAUACUAUUUUAAUAUAUAUCAUGAAAUAUAGAUAUUAACGUCAUCUUAAAGAUAUAAUUAAAUUUUUUGUUUAAAAUAAAUUAUAAUAAUUUAAAAAUAAUAUUUUAUUUAAAAUAAAUUUUAGAAUAAGCAAAGUUAAUAAGUGGACAUAGAGAAUUAUGAACCAUUGUAAAUGUAUUGAUUAUAUCUCUUUCUUCCCAUUUCAUUUUUACUCUAGUUUUUAUUAUUCGCAUCUUUUUCUACUAAAAUUUGAAAAAGAAAUUCACAUUCAAUUCAUUCGCUUCUUCUUGGGUGUAUGUCAUAGGAUUCAAAUUGUUUUUAAAAAAUAUUAAAUUUGUUAAUUGUGGCUAUAUGCUUAUUUAGGAUCCAUUCAUCUUAAUAACUCUCUUCCCGAUAUAGGAAGAAAAUGGCUAUUCCAUUAAUCCAGCAUGCAUUGCUGAUUAUUUAUCAAGCAAAUUACAUUAUUAUUUUCACACCAAACCUCCAAAUUCUCCAUGCAUAUACGCAUCCUAUACUGCAUGGCCAACUUCAGAGAGCUAAAACAAGCUCUUAUUGAAUUCAUGAUAGAUGAUGUCCCACUGACCCUUUUACUCUGAUACCUUGAAAUGAGAAAUUUGGAGGUUUUCCACAUCAAGCUUUUUGAAACUACUGCGCCUUCUCGUAACAAAGAACUUUCCCUAGUUGUAUGCUCUAUACUUUGGCUUUUCCCCCUUCGUCAGCUCCUCCAAGGGCUUCACCCAAACAUGGUGCCCGGGACUGAAAAAGAACGGAAUUGAGAACCUUUCCCCCUCUGAAUUCACCAUCACCCUGUGCUCCACACUUUCAAAAGUAUCGUUGCUCCAGACCUGGUUUAAUAUCAGUAUAAUUAGCCAAAUGGGUGUAAAAUUCCUUGAGCCAAACAGUACUGAUAAGCAUGUACUUAUAAUUUAAAGUUCUUGUGUGGGACCUGAACUAUAUCCCCAACGUUGAUGAUAUAAGUAUCUGGGGUGGGCUUCACUCGAACCCAUUCUCCAUUGGUUUUUAGCUUUACUUGCAGCCCUCCAACAUCAUCCUGGGCAAGGAUGGUUAAGGCUACGCCAUCCUUGUGGCGUCCAGCGCCCAGAGCUAGGUGAGGGAUGGGGCAAGGUGGGUAGUGAUUGAAGCGGAUGAAGUUUGUUGAUUCUUCAAAGAGAAGAUUGAAUCUGUUCUCUGGAAAACCUAAGCUCAGAGAGAUGAGUCCCAACAGCUUGAAAGCUAGUUUUUCCAUUUCUCUAGCAUAUUCUUCACAAACCUCCCUGUAUAAAUCAGUUCAAUUAGAACAAAAAAAUCAAGUAAUUCACUGUAGUGACUGUGCCUUAGCUGGUGGAAUUUGUACCUUAAUUCAGGAGGGUACUGAGGCCACUGAUUGAUCAGCUCAUUGAGCUCCUUUUCAUCAGGAUCAGGCGAAGCAGGGAUAAAGGCGGGGGAUGACACCACGAGAUCAAAGACUUCCUUCCAGUCCCUAACGUUCUUGGUAUGCUCAGUAUCGAAAUACCCCAAAGGAUUCACCUCAUCUCUACUUACUUUCCUCUUCUCCUCCAAUGGGAGAGCGAAGAACUUCCUCGCGGCAUCCUCAAUUUUACGACGAGACUCGGAGGGCACCCCAUGGUUGAUGACUUGAAAGAAGCCCCAGUUCUUGCAUGCAUCAGCUAUUUGAGAAACAUGGUUGAAAGCAUUGGCGGAGGAGAGAUCAAUGAGGGGGAUGCCUUCAGCUUCGAUAACAGCGAGCUUAGGCCUAUGUUGGGUGUCUUGGAUGCAGGCUGGAUCGACCUCUCCCAUGGCUGUGGUAGUGGUUAGAACUUAGAACUUAGAAAUGGCGGUUAUGCACUGCUAGUGUUAGCUGCACGUGAAGAUGGUGAAUGGGGACUUGGCCACUUAGCAGGUGGUUUUUGUAGUGUAGUGGGGUUGGUUUAGUACACUGAACCUGGACAUAAUUGGGGUUACGUUUUAAGUUUUGGUUGGGGGCUGGCGUAGGCUCAUGUGUUGCGCGAAUGUCAAUGAUAUUUGGUUGUAUGAUUUCCAAAAUCUGCAGCCCCAAAAGGGAAUCUCUCUCAAUGAUUUCGGCAACAGCACUCUCCACAUUCAAAUGUUUGAUCCGUAUUUGAAUUGGAGUCUAAUACUCUGAUCAAAGAUACGCUUCGUUUAGUUUCGAGUACAUUUUCGAAUUUACUAAUUCAUAAUUAGGGAAAAGUAUGUUUCGAUACGCUAACAUAAAAAUAUUGAUAAAUUAGGUUGAAACCAAAAAUGCUCUCCACCAUGCCAACCAACCCUUACAUGUUUGAAAAUAGAAAAGAAAAAAAAACCACCAAAACCAAUAUCUCUUUCUUUUCGAGUUAUUUGAUUAAAAAAGUCAAUGAAAACCUAAUUUUUUAAAUUUAAUUAUUUGUUUUUUUUUUUUGUUUCAUUUUGAUAAAAAUAUUUUUGCUAAUUUCUUAUAAAAAUAACAAUUUUUUUUAAAACCUAUAGGUAAAUAUUUGAAAUAGUAAAUGACAUUUAUAUCAAAAAUGUGUUACUUUUCAAGUAAAAAUAUGGGAAAUGUUAAAUUUACAAUUUAAGGAUUAUUUCAUCGCUUUUAACCAAAUAUUUUUUGCUUUUUUUAGUUAUUAUUUUGUCUUUUGACAUAAAUCUUUCUAAAGAUCUAGAGGAUCCUGAUAUUAUUUUUUAGGCAGCCAAACAGACCUAGAAGGAAAGAUGACCCAAAAUGGAGGUGUUUCGACAUUUUCAAAAAUCCAUGUCGCAUCAUUGAAUAGAAGGAUCUGCCGCUAUUGCCAUUUUUUCAAUCCAUAGAGACUAGAAACAAUGAUAAGCAUGGAGAAAGUGCGAGAAAAUUUGAAGAAAUCAUGGAUGAAAGGCAAAGGCAAAGGUGUUUAUAGCCCCAAGUUAGGGUUGCCGUAGCUCUUCCUCUCAUGGUCCUUUUUUCUUUCUCGUUGGACUCUUUGGAUCAAUGCUUUUUCUCUCAGGUCUUUUCUUCUUUUUUUUUCAUCCUUUUGUACCUUUUUUAAUGGAUGUCAGCCACUUUCGAGUCGAGUUCAUUACUUCCAUUAGGGGUCUCCAAAAAGCCCGCGGCCCGCUUUAGGCCCGGCCCGGCCCGACGGGCUAAAGCCCGGCCCAAGCCUAGCCCGAGCCCGUUUAUGGGCGGGCCGGGCCUAAAUUUAGGCCCGUAGGCCCGCCCUUAGGCCCGCCUUUAAUUUUUUUAAAAAAAAUAAUAUACUAUAUUUUUAUAUAUAUAUAACUAACUCAUUUAAUAAGCACAAAAGAAAUGUAGCUCAGUUGGUUAGAGCCUUGAAAUUUAUGCUUGAGGGGAGGGGUUCGAAUCCCCCCCUCUUCCUUUCUUUAUUUAAAAGCCAUUUUGGCUUAUUUAAAAAAGCCCGCGGGCCUAGCAUUUUAGCUCGGCCCGGCCCGGCCCUGCCCGUUGACCAGUCAACGGGCCCAUAGGCCCGACCCGAGCUGGGCCGCGGGCCUCCUAUUUACGGCCCAGCCCGGCCCGUUGGAGACCCUUAACUUCCAUGAUAUUUGCAUAUAUGGAUGUGGUCUGUGCCAUUUAAAUUUUAACCCUUCAAAAUGGACUGCAGAAUUGGUAUUGAAUAUUAGGAGUUGUAUAAAUAAAACAAUUGGAACUUUUGACUUUAUACUUAGAACAUGAUCAGGGACUUUUUUUUUUCUUUUUUUUUUUUUUUGGGAUACAUAACAUGAUCAAGGCCAUUCCCUAAAUGAAGGCAUACUGUAGCAUAUACCAAUUUAUGAAAAUGCUAUUUAAGUUGGUUUUUUUUAUGUAACCAUUCUACCCUUAAUCAGAACAUUAAAAGUAUAACUUUAAACUAGUAUCAAACACUCUAUUUUUAAACCCAUUGCCACUCCAAAUACCCCAAAUAUUCUUUUCUAUGCACCCUCUCUACUCUCACAUAAACGCCUCUCUCUCUCUCUCAGACACACACACACAUAUUCUUUCCCACAAAAAUAAAUACACACAAAGUAAAACACAAUCUUAUCCGAUUCCCUUCCAAUUUAUGAUUCUGAGUUGGUGGGUCACUCUCUUGUUCUUUUGCUUUCUUGGCAUGGAGCUCCAUGCUUUCCUUCCCUCAUUUUUUUAUUUUUAUUUUUUUCUUGGAUAAAUACUCUAUAAAGUGUUCUCUCUCAAUGCUCUAUCUCAAUUCCCUUGCUCAUUACACAUUAUUUCUUUUUGGAUGCUUUCUUUAUGCUCCUAGGCAUAUGCCAGUUUUUUAUGACUAUUUUUGAAAUUGGGAUUCGAAAUUCACUAAAAAAAUUUCUCAAACUUGGAUUUUUCUCCAAAACUCAACCCUAACUUCUUUUCUAUCUGUACCAAGGCUAAAGAAUAUAGUUUAUACCCUUGUAUUCUCUCAUGUACCAAGCCCACAAGAUGAUGAAUAAGUUUCUCUCUAGAUUUUACAUUGGAGUUGAUUGAUGACAAUACCCUUAUUAGGCAGUAUAUUCUUUUCCUUAGGUACUAUCUUUUCCUACCUUAGAUACUACCUUUGUCACCUUGGGUGCAUCACCAAAUCCAUUGUUUCAUGGCCACUUCAAGUAAGUCAGGAACUUAUGUACAUGUGUGUUGCAUGUCUUAUAAGUACUAUAUUUACUUUCUUUAGGCACUACUUUUACCUUCCUUAGGUACUAAGAAAAAUAAAGGCUAAUCUUAAUUAGGAAAACACCUAAGAAAAAGGGUGAAUUGAGUCUUUAAAAAUCUUUUUCAAGUACAAACAAAUUCAAGGACAGUAAACACAAAUAUAAAGAAAUAAGAUUAGAGAAAGAAAAUUCAGAUUUUAUAGUGGUUCAGUACUUCCUUACCUACAUUCAUUCUCCUCAAACUCCUAACCGAAUGAGGGUUCCACUAUACGUGAAACUUCAAUCAAGCUUCCAAUCCUUUUACACUUGGAUUCCGGCUCCAAUGGGCUCUUACACAAUCUCUUCAAGUCUUUACUCACUUAAAGGUUCUAACACUCAAAUAACAUAUUUGAAUAUCUCAACGUAACUCAACAAUGGCUCAAAUACUACACAAAUGCUAAGAUGAAUCACAAAGGUGCACUGAGGUGUAUGCAAAUGAAGAUUUGAUGCACCAAAAAAAGAAUGAGAGCUUUUGAGGUAAGAACAAGUAGGUAAACAAAUAAAUGUAGGUAUUCUCUUGCUCAUAAAUGAAGUGGAGCUCUCAAUUUAUAGGUUUCUAACCUCAAGAGCAAAGAAUGCCAAAAAACAGCCUCGAUUUGACUAGACGUUGGGUAAUAAAUGCAUGGCAAGUGAUCAUUAGGCCUCGACUGAUUCUCAAUCGGACAUUGACCGAGAAGAUAAAGCCUCGAUCGAGAAUGCAAGGCUACUGGAAGAGAGUGAAGAUUUUUGUCAUCUCUCAAUCGAGAAAGGGUAACCGAUCAACCAGAACCCUAGCCAAUUGAGCCAGUUGGCCCAAUGCCUCAACCGGUUCACCAUUUUUUGCCCAAAAACUUAUUUUUUUCUGGUUUUCUUUUUUUUUUUUUCUCUUUUAAUACCUAGGCAAGGUCUUUAGGUAAAUGAAUAUGCCAAUUUUGAAACAAUUUGCCUAAGGUUCAUUUCAUAAAACUUGGAUUUCGAUGAAAAUAUAUCUUUAAUGCAUAAAUCAAGUUUUGAAAGAUACAUGAAAAGAUAUAAAAAUCCUAAGUGCACACAUGCAUUCAUCUUACAUAUGUUUCCUAUGAUUAAAGGGUUUUCCAAUUGUCUUUAUCUUGCAUCCAUUGGGUUCUUUGAUGAAUUUUCAAACUAAUACUUGAAAUUCUUUAUAAUUCAAACCAAUUAGCAACUUAAACAUAGUUUGUUAUCAUCAAAACACGAUGAGGAGAACCCUUGGGCUAACAAUCUCUCUCUUUUUUAUGAUGACAAACCUUGGUUAUCUAAGAAAAAAAUAAUAACUUUCUCAAACCAAUCAUGGAUCAAACAAUCAGUAUUUAAGAAUUUAAAAACAAGAUGAUCAAGACAUGUUAAAUUGCAACACAAAACAAUGUAAGUCAUCAAAUAUAUAAGCAUAUCAUAUAUCAUAUGUCAAAUAUAUCAGUCAGUACAUCAUAUGGAAAUAUACAAUCCAAAAAAAAUGAUAUGCAUGUAUGAGUCCUAUGUCUAGCCUCCUAGAUCCUAAAUUAUCUCCCCCUUUGGCAACAUAAAAAAUGAACAAUGAGGGGGUCUCCAACGAAUCAAGGCUGAUGAGGUGGAAGUGGAAACAUGGAACGCAAGUAAGCCAUCAUCUCCUCAUGCUGACACUCCAUGUGAUCCUCCAUGUGAUCAAUCCUCUGUUCCAUGUGAUCCUCAAUGCAAGUAAUCUUUUGCUCCAUGUGAUCUCAAAGAGAUCAAUCCUCUACUAGAGAUACUUAAACUAAAAAGUGAACCCAGUCCAAUACUAGUCCAUCAUAUCCCUCAUAGAUUAAAAUCGUUUGUCAUUGACCACUACAAGUUCCUCCAUGAGAGUGCCAAAAGAGCUAAUCUAGGUUGAUAAGUUCAUCCAUGGAGCAUAGUUAGGAGCAAAAGGUGUUUGAAGAGGUGGUAUCUUAAUAUAGGUAGGGUUGGUGAAUGCAGGUCCAAACAAUGAGGGCUCGGUGUAAGAUGGUUGAGUAAAUGGUCCAUCUCUAAAAUUCGGCUUAGUCAUCCUCGGCUCAAAGAAAGUGGGCUCAAACUAAACACUCCUAGUCUAUGAAAGAAUGUCUGACUUAAGUUGGGGAAUAUCAAGUUUUCGCUAUUUCUGUUGGUGGCCACUCUAAGGGUUUAUGCCAUCUUAAGGGUCUACUCCACCCUUCAUCUCCCUAAUCUCUGCCUCCUCGUCAACUCCAGGGUGUACCUAUCCUUGUGGUUGUCCUCUCUCUGCAUUUUUUUUUAUCCAAAAGCCAUUUGAAGCCUUCUCAAAUUUCAUCAUCCACAUAGACUGAUCAUUAUAUGCGUCAUAGAUACUAGGAGCCUCAAACUAUCUCUUUACUCAAGUUUAUGCCAGCCUUCUUAAAUACCAAGGAGAUGAAAUGUCCAUAAGGGAAUACUCUGGCCAUGCUCUCACAACAAGUAAUCAUAUGCAUCAUCAUUAGAUAUCCCAAAUGAAUCCAUCUCCCAGUGAGGAUCAAAUCUAUCAAGAAAGCCUCAUAAUAGGAGACCUCAUCCC
Molecule: long non-coding RNA, 87246 nt
Filed under: Vitis vinifera (wine grape)
Lineage: Eukaryota; Viridiplantae; Streptophyta; Magnoliopsida; Vitales; Vitaceae
Description: long non-coding RNA (VVIN_LNC000686)
Source: RNAcentral